CAACCUCAUCCAUGCUCAGAGCAUCCUCGCCAUCUGGGCUUCCCAGGUUGUGCUUAUGGGAUUCGUUGAAGGGUACAGAGUGGGUGGAGGGCCACUUGGCGAAGGACUUGACCCCAUUUAUCCUGGCGGUGCCUUUGACCCACUUGGCCUCGCUGAUGAUCCUGAUGCAUUUGCAGAGUUGAAGGUGAAGGAACUCAAGAAUGGCCGCCUCGCAAUGUUCUCAAUGUUUGGAUUCUUCGUUCAGGCCAUUGUCACUGGAAAGGGUCCUGUUGAGAACCUUUUGGAUCACCUUGCCGAUCCAGUGGCCAACAAUGCUUGGGCAUACGCCACUAACUUCGUUCCUGGAAAAUGAAGAAACUCAGAUGGUUGCCUUGUAGCUUGUGACAUUACUAAUUAGUCCUUGUGCUUUUGUUGAAAACUUCUGGUUCUGGACUCCACCGGUACUUGUGAUUUCAGCAGUGGAUAUUUUACAUGUAUCGGAAAAGUACUGUAUCUCCUUUUCACUAUGAACAUGAGACUCUUUUGUGCUUGAAUCUACUUUUUUUAGUUGGAUUUGUCUCGUGGAUAAGUUUUUAGAUAAAAACAAAAAUAAGUAACAGUUCCAUCACUGCCCAAUAAGAGGGGAAGAAGUCUUCCUUGUGCAAUUAGGUGAAGCUAAAUUUUUCAGUUUAUGAGUUUUAUUAUUUAUUAAUCUCUAGUUUAAUUACUAUAAAUUUUAGAAUUAUAAAAAACUUAAAAAAUUUAUGAAAUUGUUAAUUUUAAAAUUUUUAGAAAUUAAUUAAGGUAAGUAUAAAUUAGCUCGAACAUUCAUAAUUAAUUUAAAAAAAAAUCUUCUCUAUACAAACAAUAUUUUCUCAUUUGUUACCUACGAAACUAGGUAAGCAUAUAAAGCAUUCAAGUAAUAAAAAAAACCCUAAAAAAAUAAGAUUAAAAAAAAUAAUAAGUCUCCUAGUGAUAUAAAUGUAGACGAAGAAAUAUUUUCAUAUUAAUUGUAAUAAUGUAAUUAAUAAUUUGCUCUUGGAAAAAAACACAAUGAACUAAACUUUGAAAAUUAUAUUAUCUUUUCACUAUGACACAAAUAUUUUUAACAUAUUACAUAAAAUUAUAUUUGUUUUUUUUUAAUUUACAGUGCAAUUACAAAUUUAGCAUUGAAAUAAAUAAUUCUAAAACUUUUGACUCAAGGAUGUUUUUGUCCUGUGCAAUGUGCAAUUCCAUUGACAUCCUUUGAGACAAAAACAAUAUACUCUUAUAAGAGUUUUUUAGUCAUUUUACAUUGAUUUGUUUAGUACUGAGCAUUUUCAGUUCGGUCCAGUUUUGAACCAAAAUAAACAACCAAACUAAAUAUUUUUAAGUUUUUGAACCAAACCGAACCGAAAACCAGUUCAAACCGAUUAAUUUUGGUUCGGUUCAGUUUUUUCCCCUUCCAACCGGUUCAAACCGAAAUGCAUUUAGAAGCUCUGGAAUUGGCGACUAGAUAGAGGUUGUGCUGUCGGAGGAACAUAUUCUCCGUCCACCGUUGGAUCAUCUCUGAUUUUCAGAUAUGUUGUGUGCCUUAACCCCCACCAAAAACUGACCGUUCGGAUCUUUGGAAUAUAUCACUGUUUGAAAGCUCUCCUUGAUCUAAGUCUCGCCUCCAGAAUAUCUUUCUGGUUCUGUUCUGCUCUCAUCCCUGUUCUUUUUGUCAACUUCUACUUCUGACCAUCCAUAGCCACCACAGGUCAUUUCCCUGCCUCAAGACUAGCCACACAGCCUCCUCCCACUCCCAAACUACCACCCAUCCCCCAGUCACCCACCCUUCAUAAACAGACGAACAACCCCCUCCAGAUACCCACCCUGCCAGCUAGAUGGAAGAAUCAUCCGCAAUUCGCCUCUGACAUGGCAAGUUUGAGAGAUGAGAGACAGAGAGCAUGAAAGAUUGGAAGAGAAGAAGAAAGAUUUGACUCAAAUGUUGAAAGGAAAUAUUAAAGCUUUACCUGUAAUCAAUUACUUUUCCUUUAUGUUGACCUUUAGAAUCCAAUCUGUGUCUCAUAUCCAAAUCAUUUAAGAGACAGAGAGCAUGGAAACUAUGAAUGAAAGGGACCCUUCAAACUGUGAAAUCAUUCAAAGGGUUAAUUGGAGGGGAGGGGGCGGCUGCGUGAAAGUGAAAGAAAUGAAAUUGGUCUGCUAGGGUUAAUCGUUAAUGCCUAAUGGGAGGGAGGGGGCGACCCGCAGCUUGGUUUAAUUUAUUCUUUUCAUUUCUAAACCGAACCGGUUCAGUUCGGUUCGGGUUGUCUGGUUCAGGCACACCAAAACCGGAAACCGAACCGAACCGGAUAUUUUUCUAAAUAUCCUAACCGGUUUAAUCGGUUUUUUUUCACUGUUCAAUUUUUUCGAUUAAUUUUUUUCCGGUUUUCUCGGUUAAAUCGGUUUUUUUGUUUUUUUGCUCACCUCUAGAUUUGUUAUAGAUUCGAAGGUUGCUUGAGGGUAUUAUUGUAAUAGUUGUAUAUUAAAUAUUAUUUAAAAACAACAUGUUGUCACAUGCUUUGUAUGUGCUAGCGUGUGGACGGCCCCCACGUCGUUCAAGUGGCGCAUAUGGGGCAAUCUGACCUCCAAAUAUCGCCUUCUAGGGUUGUGUUUGGUAGAUCGCGGGGUCCUGAACAUGGUGGUGCAUGCGUAUGUACCAAAGGUGUCGUUGGUUUGGCACCAAAUGCUGUUUCUUUUUCUUUUCUUGUUCUCCUCUCUCUCCUACUCGAAUUUUGUGCCAGCUCCUGGAAAUUUUCAGAACAGCUCUUGCAAUUGUUUUUUCUUCACAUUUGGUCCCUAUGCUUUUGAACACUAUUUUUUUAAUAAGCUAUAAAAUUAUAAAUACUUUUCAAUUUCACCACAUACUAUUUUUUAAUCUAUAAAUAAUUUUUCAAAUUAUAAAUGUUUUUUAAUUUCACCCCUUCUAUUUUUAAGUAUAUGAAUAAUUUAUCAAAUUACAAAUGUUUUUCAAUUUCACCCUCUAUGAGUUUUUUAAUCUUUCAAAUUUGAUUUUUAUUCUUUUAAUUGCUAUUUAUUUUGUUUGAUAUCAUAUUUAAAAUGAUUUAUUUUUCAAAUUUCAUCCUCAAGUUUUUUUCUAUCAAAUUUCAUCUUUGUUUUUUUGUUGCCAUUUUGUUUUGCUUUUUCAAGGUUUUUUUAUUGAUAUUUUUCAUCGACUUCAUCCUUCAAGAUCAUUGUAAACCUCGGGAAAUAAAUAUUUGCAUAAAUUACAAACUAAAUUAAUGGAAAAUAAAAGCGAAGAAAUUCAUGUACAAAUUUAAAUAAAAAUAGAAAUUCAGAAAUUUUCGGAUAUAAAUUUUUGGAUGAAAUAUUUCGAGACAUUAUAAAUUAACCUGAAAAUAUUGAGGGUUGGAUUAAAUUAAAGAAAAUAAACUAAACUAAAAAGCUGAGGGGUGGAAGUAUAAGAAAUGAAAAGAGGUAUAACUUAAUUAUAAGGAGAAAAAGAUAUGGGGGCAAAAGUAGUACACCUAAAGGAAAUGAGGUCUAAGUGCAAAUAAGAGAAAUUAUGGGGUAUAAAUACCCCUCUUCCUUGCUCAUCAAAAAUUUGCAGUAAUAUUAAGAGAAAGGGAGGGAGUUUUCGAAUUUGUUCUUGCCAAAUCAAGAAAAAAACACAAAAAUUCCAAGAACUCAUCCAAGAUUAAGGGUUUAUAGGUAGAAUAAACACUUGUCAACAAGAUAUUAACAAGAAAAUUGAAACAAAAAAAGAAAAGGGAGGGUCGACUGCCAUUAGAAAAAGGGGGAGUCGAAAAUUUUCGACUGGUUGAAGAUCGAGACCUUGAUUCUUACUAGGUAAGGAGUUCUAAAACAUGAUCCUAUAAGUCGUUUCAGAUUCGAUUACAAAUUGAUGCCUUAAUGUUGAAUUUUAUAUUAGGGUUCCUAGACUUGAAUGGGGGGAAAUGUAUUAAUUGUUAAAAUUAAGUAAAUUCAUGUGUUGUAUGUGAUUGGAGGCAUGAAAUCAUGAUCAUUUAUCAAAGAAAAUGUAUGGGUAAUUAGGUAAGGGUUGGCCGACCAUAUGAAGAGAAAAAGGGGGGAAAUUAUGGUUUUUCCUUAUUGAAUCUAUUAUAAUAGGUUGUUUGUGAAGUGAAUGUCUGUGAAUUUAAUGAAAUUAGCAUGAAAGGAAUGAAGGAACUAUUGGUUCCUUAAGGUCAUGCUUUUGGCCAAUUAUGCAUUAAAGAGGGAAGAUAGUAAUAAAUAGAGUAAAUUGGCUCCUAAAAAAUAUUUUUGACCCUCUUAUAUGGUAUAUGAUAUGGUUAGGGGUUAAAAUAAAAGAAGGAAAGUUAAAUUGUAGAUGUUGUGUGUAAAUGAAAAGGUUGACGAAUCUUGACAGAUUCAUCUCCUCACUUUCGGAGAGAAUUCAAGUAGAAGAAUGAGGGAAUUAGAAUCAGGUUCUUUCAUAGAAAUUAUAGUUUUGGAUGUUGAAUAACCAAGGAAGUUGGUCUUGCUCAAUUUCAAGCUAUAGAACACUAGUUAUGGGUCACCAACCAAGACUGGGUCAUGACAGACCCUUUAGAGCAGUAGGUCUGAUUCGUUGGCGAGUAAUUUUGAGUGUCUUGGGGGCAGAACUGGGUUCUCCUCUCUUCAAGGGACUUGUAGCCCCAUGUCGUAGCUUUAUAAAGAGACCAACUUCGCUUGAAACGGAGUCCUAGAGCUCUAUAUAUAGUUAAAAAUCUGAGGAGAGGUCGAAACUACUAGCAGAUUUGGAAAGACGCGUUAAGGGUGAAAAUUUGAUCCUUUCACUUCAGAGAACAUGUGAUAUUACAUUUUAAUUUCCAAAAGAAAUGAGCCAUGUUCAAAAAUGAAAAUUUAUAAUGAUAACUAUGGUCGGACAAAGAAUGAUGAUAUUAAUAGAUGAAAUGAGAAAACAUAAAAUAUAAAGAAAGAAAUAAUUGAAAGAAAGACAUGUAUUGGCUGUUAAUAUGGUUAUUAUAAAAUGUAUAUUUGAAUGAUGAUAAUUUAUGAGAUAUGCCUGUGAUUACCAGGAGGGACCAUAAGCGUGGUGCAGCAGCAACAACUGCAUGGGAGCACGAGUAGAGCUUUUACUUCAGGUAGGUGAUCCGCACCUAUACUUUCUAGUUAGAUUCCAUGAUUUAAUAUGUUAUUGAUGUGAAAUGUGAAUUAGCGAAUGUUGGACAUUACGUGAAAGGAUGAAAGUUUGCGUAAUGAUGUUGAUAUUUUGGAUAGUAUUCUGAAUGUAUGUGUGUUCAAUGUGAAUGGUUCUUGUGUGAAUUGUCAAGUGAUGAAAUUAUAGUUGACAAAGAAAAUAUGAGAAGUGUGAUAUGCGGCGUGGACUAGCAUACAUUUAGUGCAUGUUAGGAUCCCUGGUUAGGGGAUCACCAUGUAUUGACUAACAUACAUUUAGUGUAUGUUAGGAUCCCGGGUAAAGAAUUACCAUGUAUUGGCUAGCAUACAUUUAAUGCAUGUUAGGAUUCUAGGUAAAAUGAUCACCAUGCAUCGAUGUCUAUAGGGCAUUGACUAGCAUAAAUUCAGUGUAUGUUAGGAUCCCGGGUAAGGGGAUCACCAUGCAUAAACUAACAUAUAUUUAGUGUUUGUUAGGGUCUCGGGUAAGGGGAUCGCUAUGCAUCGACACCUACAGGGUGAUGAUGAUACCGGUGAAAUUGAUAUCGGUAAUGUGUUAGGUGGAAAUAGUCGUGGUUGAUCUUAUGAAAUCUUGAAUGGAAGUUGAAAAUUGAAGAUGAAACGGUUUUAGUAGUUGAAUGAGAAAGAGUUUCAAUGGAAACAAGGAAGGAGAAGUGAAUAGAAUAUGAAUACAUGUUUGCCUUUUUAAAUUGUUGAAUAUUUGUGGUACUAUACUUAUUGUGAUAUUCUUGUUUCAAUAACAUGUAUUUUGUUUCAGGACCAUCGCAUGUACGACAAGAGUAAAUCCUAGCUUAUAUUCACUUUUUGUAAUCUAGUUCUAGGGAGUAUAUCCUUGUAUUUUGUAAUAUUACAACAUUUAUAUAACUUAAUUUGUAUAAUUGAUGUUUAAACUUGAAUAGAUAAACUUAACUUUGAAAUUCAUAUAAUUAUGUCCAUGUAUGCGUGUUUAUCUUAUUUAUUCCUCUAUAAUGAUAUUUGUUGUUCAAUGUAUGUUAUAAAUAUUAUGGUUGUGAUGACGAUGAUGUUUGUGGGAUUGAGACCCAAGACGAUUGAGUCGUGAUUGAGUUAUGAGAUAUGAAAUAUUAGAAGUGUAAAUAGGUUAUAUGUCGAUAACUUGGAACCUCCCGGUAUAAGGGAGACUUUGACGAAAUUUCGGUAGAGAUUUUGGUAGACUUUUAUAUGAAAACCACACACACACACACACACACACAAAAUUUACCCUGUUUUUCAUUCGACAUGAGAUUGUUGUUUUAUCCCGGAUAUGGGGAAGUAACAAUCAUGUUGGUUGAGAAUUAAACUUCUUGAUUGAACCCGGGUCCAAGAUUUCAUGAGUAGUGGUUAGACUAGAUUUAAAAGGUUCGUCCGAGUUCACUUGAUUUUUUUUUAUUUUUUAAGGUGAUUUUUUUUUUAUAAAUUUUUUUAUCCCUUUUUUGUUUUGUUAUUUUUUCCAGUUUGCCUACCAUUGUUUUUCAAUUUCACCCCUGCCAUUUUUUAAUCCAUCAAAUUACAAAUGUUUUUCAAUUUCAUCCCCUAUCAUUUUUUUUUAUCUUUAAAAUUUAGUUCUCAUUAUUUUAAUUGCUAUUUAUUUUGUUUGUGUUCAUUUUAUUUUUUUUUAAUUUCAUUCUACUUAGGUUUUUUUCUAUCAAAUUUUAACCCUAUUUUUUUCUUUGCUUUUUUUUUUCUUUUUCAAGAUUUUUUUAAUAAUAUUUUCACCAACUUUAUCAUUCAAAAUUAAAUAGGUCGAUAACUAAGCUCCUUGAUUUAAUCUAGUUACAAGAUUUCACGGGUUGUGACUUUUAAAGAUUAUACAAGGUUUAUGAGGUUUGUUCGGGUUUUUUUUUAAGAUGAUAUUUUCUUAUUUUUAUCCUUUUUUUUUGUUAUUUUUUGUAGUUUGCCUUCUGUUGAGUUGCCCCCUAUAAUUUGUUUUUAUUUUAACCCCUACCAUUUUUUAAUCUAUGAAUAAUCUAUCAAAUUAUAAAUGUUUUUUUAAUUUCUCUGCUAUGAUGUUUUAAUCUUUCAAAUUGGGUCCUCAUUUUGUUAAUUGUUAUUUAUUUUGUCUAUGAUCAUUUUAAUUCUUCUUUUUUUCCAAAUUUCAUCCUUUGCGCUUUUUCCUAUUAAAUUUUAUCCUCGUUCUUUUUAUUGCUUUUUUUUUUUCAAGUUUUUUUUAUUGAUAUUUUUUCACCAACUUCAUCCUUCAAGUUAAAUUUGAUGAGAAUUGAACUUCUUGAUUUAACUAAGGUCUAGAAUUUCAUGAGUUGUAAGUUUUAGAUAUUAGACCAGGUUUAAGAGGUUCACUUGAGUUCGCAUGUUUUUUUUCUCUUUUUUUAAGCUGGUUUUUUCUGAUUUCUUAUCCUUUUUUUGUUUUUUUGUUUUUUUUUUUCAAUUUUAUUCAAUUGGGUUAGGCCUCUAAAAUUUUUCUUAAUUUCACCCCUACCAUUGUUUUAACCUAUAAAUAAUAUAUCAAAUUACAAAUGUUUUCAAUAUCACCCCUAUGAUUUUUUAAUCUUUCAAAUCUUGUCCUCGUUCUGGUAAUUGUUAUUUAUUUUAUUUGUGAUCAUUUUAUUUUAUUUUUCAAAUUUCAUCCUCGCACUUUUUUUUUUUGCUAAAUUUUAUCCUUAUUUUUUUACUACUUUUUUAUUCUUUUGCCAUUUUUUUAUUUUUUAUUUUUACAUUUCAUCCUUCAAAAUUAAAUUUAUUAAUAAUUGAGUUUCUUGAUUGAACUCGGACCCAAGAUUUCACAAGUUGUGAGUUUUAGAGAUUAGACCAGCUUUAGGAGGUUCACUCUAGUUUUUUUUUUUAAGUUGAUUUUUUCUUAUUUUCUAUCCUUUUUUAGGGGGUUUUCUUUUUUUAUUUUUUGCAAUAUUAUUCUAUUAGGUUCGUCCUCUAUAAGGUUUUUUCAAUUUCACCCUUAUAAUUUUUAAAUAUAUAAAUAAUCUAUCAAAUUACAAAUGUUUUUCAAUUUCACCCCCUAUGAUUUUUUAAUUUUUCAAAUUUGAUACUCAUUCUUUUAAUUGCUAUUUAUUUUGAUUUGGAUAAUUUUUAUUUUUUUUUUCAAAUUUCAUCCUCCGUAGGUUGUUUUCUCUCAAUUUUUAUCCUCAUUCCUUUUGUUGAUGUUUUUUUGGCUUUUGGAAUUUUUUUUAUUAAUAUUUCUUCAAGGAUUUCAUCCUUCAAAAUUAAAAUGGUUGAGAGUUAAGCUUCUUCAUUGAACCUGGGUCCUCGAUUUAAUAAGUUGCAAGUUUUAGAGAUUAGACUAGGUUUAGGAGUUUCGUCUGAGUUUGCUUAUUUAUUUUUUUCUUUUUUUAAGCUGAUUUUUUUGGAGUUUUGUUUUGUUUGUUUUUGUUUUUGUUUUGUUUACCUUCUAUUAGGUUAAUAUUGGGUUGUUUGAUAAUCUGGAUAGACUCAAGUAUGGUUCUUUUUACUCUGUUUUUUUAUUUUUUUUGUCAGUUUAUUUAUUAUUACUGCAUUUUUAUUUCAUAUUAUUUAAAUUACCAAUUGGACCAAUGACUUGGAACUUUGAUUUUUUUUACCCUAACAUUUUUUUUAAGUCGAACAAUAAUUUUGUUAGGCCUGCGGUGAAGUGCAAACAGUAAAUCUAGUAUAUAUUGUAGAUCAAGAUGCAAAACACUAUGGAUUUGAACAAAGUUUUGAUCUUUUUAUCCUUAUUAAUAAAAACCAAUGACCUUGUUGAUGAGGUAAUAUGAUCUUUUCCACAUGAUCCAUUGAUCAUUAUUUGAUUAAUUAGGAGUGGAUUGAUCUUUUAUCAUUUUUAGAGCAUAGAAAAAUAACUAAAUUACCCUUAUAAGCAAUGAUUUUUAAAACUAACAUCCAUAAGCUUUUUUGCCAUUUUAAUUUUUCAAGGAUAGUAAAAUGACUAAAUCCUUUGACUAGCAUCCAUGGGCUUUUUAGUAUUUUCAUUGUGGUUUUUUUUUUAGUAAUAAUCAAUUUGAUUGAGAGGUACUUUCAUAAUUGAAUAAAUAUAAAUAUUAUUAAAAAAUGGUCGACACAUGUAAGUGUUUAGAUUGUAUAAUUUAGGAGAUGUUUAUGCUAUUGUUUGACUAGUAUAAUUUGGAGGAAAGUUCCUACAGUAGAUGUUGUUUACAACCCAAUAAUGGAUGAGGUGAGAUUUUAUGCUUCACAUGUUAUUUUCAUAUGGCUAGAUAAUAUUUAGAACGUUAAAUGAUUAGAAAUUUUAUAUAGAGCAUGCAAAGUGUUACAACGUGUGAUCUAUAAGGAUGAAGAAGGUAGAAGUUACAUUUGGGCUAAAGAAUAGACCAGAGGUUUACAAAAUGACUUAAAAAAGGAAGAACAUAAUUGUAUUCUUAAAUAACAAAGUUAGAGCAUUGAAAGAGCAAGGAAAAAAAAUUGGAGGAACAAAUACAAAGAAUGAAUGAAGAACUUUAAGAUUAGUUGCAUGUUAAACAUGGAGAAUUCUUGCAAAUUCAGAGGAAAUGAGAAGAACAAAAUAAAAAUAACAAGCAAUUCACUUCACGAUUGGAUUCAAUAAUGGCUACCUUACAAACCAUUUUAAAUGAUAAAGAAAUUGAGAAGAAAGGAAGAAAUAAUCCAUUUUUUAAUGUAAGAAAUGAUCCAAUAUCUGAUGGUAUCCUACUAUAUCCAAAAGUGCAUACAAGAAUGGAGGAGGUGAUUUCUAAUGAAAGGCAGAAAAUGAGUUAGUAUGGCUCUACCUGGGGUAGAGAUAUUAACCUUCUAUAGAGAGAAUCCUUAAAGCUGGAUAAGAAAAUGCAAGAAAUACUUUAAGCUACACCUUACCCCAGCUGGUCAUUGGCUUCGAAACAAGAAUGCUAGAAUGAUUGGCAUCCAAGUAACGAUUGUUAGAUUGAUUACUAUCCAUUUGAGAUUAUUGGAAUUAUUAGCUUCCAAACAAGAAUGCUGGAAUAAGUGGCAUCCAAGUAAGAUUUCUGGAUUGAUUGGUAUCCAUUUGGGAUUACUGGAGUUAUUGGCUUCCAAAUAGGAAUGCCGAAAUAAGAAAUAAUAAUGAGGAUUUGUUGAGUUUAUGGAUAAUCGAAUUAGGGUUUUUGGACCAAUUAGUUCUCGCAAUGAAUAACCGGAUUAAUCGGCAAUGAAAUAGAGUAGAUGGGUUACUAAGUAAUUCAAGUAAGAUGGAUAAAUAAACAAGAGAAGAAAUGAAUGCAAAAAAACUAUUUAAGGUAUGAUCACAAUAAAAAGGAAUGAAGUAGAAUCUGGAAUGAAUUCUUUAAAAAUUAAUUAAAUUGUAUGAAAUCUUAUUAAAGAUUGACGCAUUGUUAUAUUAAUUCUUGUUUUAAGUCUUUACCAAGGUUGUCAAGAAUAAAUUUUAUUGUUACUUUCUUGUUAUAGUUAUUAGAAAAGAUUUGUAUAUAAUUUUGUAAAUAUGGAUAAUAAAUUGUAAUAUUUUAAGUACUUUCUUUUGGUAUGUAAAAUGGAGCACUAUAACAUUUUACUAAAAAAUAACUUAUAAUUAAAGUAGUGAUCAUGCUUUAUUUUACACCAUUUCAUUAGUAUCUAAAUUCUUAUAUUGCUUUAUUAGUAUACUAUAUUGAUUAUAUUAAAAUGAAAUGAUGAAUAUCAUAGAGUUAUUGAUGAGAUGUGAUUCUAGAUGAAUUGGACUGAUGAUUGACAUAGAUUUGAGUAAAUUACAUUCAUGUCGACAUUUGAGAAUGUUAUAUAUUAGGGAAAACUCUGAUGAAUUUUUUAUAGGAAUAUACAAAUUUUUUUUCGCUCUAAUGAAAUUUUGGUAGGAAUGUACAAAAGUAAUUUCUAAUUUUUUUUUAACAAUCAUGACUUGAUAUAUGGUCAGAAAUUGAUAUAAAAAUUGGGAUCGUUACAUAUAUAUUGAGCAACAUUACCAUAAAUAAAAGGCUUAAGGUGUUGAAGUGAUUGCUUGUUUGAGAGUGUGGUUGCGGUUGCUUUUCAAAAUGUUUUUCAUGCCGAAAACCAUCAAAAUGAUUUUUUUUUAAAGAAUUAUUUUUUAGAUUAGCACAUCAAAACGAUUCAAAAUAUACAAAAAAAAACACGGGUGCCACCAUAUUUCCAAACACUCAAAAGGUUGCGAUUUAUGAAUAUGUAAUAAUGAACAUGUAGUUGUUGAGAUCGUGGUGUAUUCUUGAGGGUGAUAGCCUAUGACGUGAAAUGAAGAAAAUAAGUUGCCUUAAUUAUGAAAUUGACUCUUCGAAAGGCAUUUGACAUGAUUUUGGGCCUCUCCAUGAGUGAGAAUAGAGAAGUAAUGCUUUUUCAAUUAUGAAAUUAUUUGUUUUCUUUUCCCUCUUCAAUGAAAGUUUAUAUCACCAGAUUUCAACUUAUUGAGACCAAAACUUAUUUAAUCCACCGUUAACUUAAGUUAAUAUAUCAAAUCCUUAUUAUAAAUAUAGUAGCAGUUUUUUUUUAAGUAUUUUUCGUCUACAAAUAUAUUAAAAUAAUAUUUUUUUAUUUUUACAAAUUAUUUUUUAUAUCAGCAUAUCAAAACGAUUUGAAAAUAUUAAAAAAUUAAAUUAAGGCCUUUUUUAAAAAAAAUUCAUGGAACACGCUUUGCACUGCGUUCCCAAACAGGUUCUAAAUACUGAGACUUUCUAGAAACCACAGUAACCUUGUAAAAAAAUAAAUUAAAAUAAAUAUUGAAAUCUAAUACCCAAUAUUGAGUUUUUUUAUUUAAUAAUAUGAUAAAAAGUGGAUGUUAAAAAACCAAACACUAAUCCAAUACCUGUAUAUUUUUCUAAUAUCGAUAUAACUUCAUUCAAAGUAAAUUAAAAUAAAUUAUGAAAUUUAAUUCAUAAUAAUUAUGUUUUUUUUCCUCAAUUAUUUUUUAUUUAAUAAUAUAAUAAAAAAAUAAACAAUUAUAAACUAAGCACAAUACUGAGAUGUUUUUUCAAGACUACAAUAAUUUUAAAUAAAUAAUCAAAAUAAAUAAUAAAAUCUAAUUCUCAAUAAAUCUAAUAUUAAAAAAUAAAAAAAAAGCAUAUAUAUUAGUAUUCUAAUAACAUGUGAGCAGUCAAAUGAUAAUUAGAAUUGUAAAAUGAGUUUCCCCGAGAUUGUGAUAAAUAAAUGAAAAAAAAAGAGGAAUAGUAAAUGAUUUUGUACACUAUGAUCUAUAGUCAUGAAAAUUACUGCGUGAUUUUUUUUAAUAGUUAACAUUGAUAAUCAUGAAAGAUUUUAUACACUUUACAACAAUAAAGCAAUAACUAUUAAUUAAGGGAGUAUUUUAAAAUGUGAUAGCAAUUAUUGUUUUAAAUAUUUUUAUAAAACAUACAAAAAUAUAUAUUUAAAAAAAAUUAUUUUUAAUAUUAAUAUAUUAAAAUUAUCUUAAAAAAUAAUAAAUAAAUAAAUACACGUUUUAAAUAGCUGUCUAAGACAGUUAUAAAAUAUUUUAAUUAAAAUAUUAUUUUUUAUUUUUUUAUUCAAUGACUAGUGUAGAAAAAAAAAGUGCUGUGUAAAUCAGCGUCUCACGCAAGUCAAUGCCCCCACAAAGGCACAAACAGUGACAUAGCAAAGGUCAUAAAUUAAAAGACCGGUUUUAGAUAAUCUCAUAGUGUCCGGUCUUGUCCCUGCGUAGAAAGCCGGGGGAUUAGCGCGUCGCAUUUGUCAAAGCUCAAGCAGCCUCAACACUGGAGGACAAAAUGGUAAAAGAGUCAUUUCAAUUAUCUCUCAGCUCUUCUUUGUAAUCCUUAAUUGAUUAAUGGUGGUUGCCUUUUCUCUUCCUUUAUCGAUCCAUUUGCCAUCGUUUCUUCAGGUCAGUACUCUCUCUCCCUCUCCCUCUCCCUCUCCCUUUAUCAUUAGUUUCUGUUUGUUUGCUGAGAAAACAGAUAGAGGAAACGUUUGGCUUUUUCUUAUUGUUUUUGGUUUAAGUGUUGAAUAGAUAGAUUUUUUUUAUUUUUUUUUGCAGUGAAUUAAAACCUAGGUUAUGUUUUCUGAUUGACUGUCAAUUUUUAUCUUAAAAAAUAUCUUCGAGAGGUGAGAUUUGGUAACUUUCUUAGAAAAUUUGGUUUGACUUUUGUAACUUUCUUAGUUACCAAACAGAUCAACUCUUCUUAGUAUCUCCUUUUCUCUGAUCAACUUUUUGCUUGUUACAACUUUGGUUUUUUUUUUAAUUUUUUUCUUUUUCUUUAAAAAAUUAGUCUGGUUGGUUAAUGAUGUUGAAUUCUUUUUUUAAAAAAAAAAUGGGGUGUGUGUGGCUUUAUUCUGGUUUAGCUGAGUUGUAACUGAUCUAGUCUAUCUAUGUGAUCAUGUUCAAUAUUCAUUAAUCAUGCUAUAUAUAUGUAUCAUAUGAAUACCCUCUGGAAAUCAUAGUUAAUCCUAUUUUAUAAGCAAAACGGAGUUCUUGUAAAAAAGGGGAUCAUUACAUAUUAUUUUGAUCAGAAAAGUACUAGACUGAAGAACUCUUUUUCAUACUUGGGCGAUGUUUUUUUUUCUUGAUUAUUAUUAUUACUUCUUUUCACAUUUCCAUAGCUUGAAUUUUAAUGAUAGUCAUAAUAAAAGGAGGUGGUGAUGGAUGGAUGAUGUGUUACAGCUCCUUAUGACAAUGACAGGAAGAAACGACUAAUUGAUGGGCACAUCAUCUGGCUCUAACAUUCACCACCCUUCAUAAAAAAUGCUUCCUCCACGACAGCAACCUUAUACAACUGGACUACAAACAUCACUGUCCUUGGUGUCUUCGGAUCUUCACUUGUCCCCUGACGCACAGGAACCAAGAUCAAAUUCUGAUAAUAUUCGUGAAUCUCUUACAGAAAGUGCUAGUUCACAAGAAACUUGGCCUACUGUUGAUGCCAUGAUGAAAAAGAAGAUGGAGAAUGACAAGGCGGAUAAUGAUUGCCCUGGACAGUCCAUCAUUCGUCGCGUCUCAGGUGCAGAUAAGAUAUCUUUUCGUGACAUAGCUGGGGAACGAGUUGACAUGAUCUCUGAAAAGAUGCAACAUUUACCUGACGACUUUCUUGAUGAGCUAAAGAAUGGUCUUCGGGUUAUGCUUGAAGGAAGCGGUGGUUCACAGCACAGAGAGGAAUUUUUGAUUUUGCAGAAGCUUGUUCAUAAUAGGUCUGAUUUGACAGCAAAGACUUUGAUUAGAGCACACCGAGUACAGCUAGAAAUACUUGUUGCAAUAAACACUGGAAUUCAGGCAUUUUUGCAUCCAAGUAUUAGUCUCUCCCAAACUUCCCUGAUUGAGGUCUUCGUGUUUAAGAGAUGCAGAAAUAUAGCAUGCCAAAACCAGCUUCCAGCUGAUGACUGUACCUGCGAAAUAUGUGCCAACAAAAGCGGUUUCUGCAAUCUCUGCAUGUGUGUGAUCUGUAACAAGUUUGAUUUUGAAGUGAAUACAUGCCGUUGGAUUGGUUGCGAUUUGUGUUCUCAUUGGACUCACACAGAUUGUGCUAUUCGUGAUGGACAAAUUUGUAUGGGCCCGUCUGUUAAGAGUGGAGCUGGCCCAACUGAAAUGCUUUUCCGUUGCCGAGCCUGCAAUCGAACAUCUGAGCUCUUGGGGUGGGUGAAAGAUGUUUUCCAACACUGUGCACCAGCAUGGGAACGAGAGGCUUUAACAAGGGAACUUGAUUUUGUUAGUAGAAUCUUCCGAGGAAGUGAAGACCCUAGAGGGAGGAAACUCUUUUGGAAGUGCGAAGAACUUAUUGAGAAAAUGAAGGGUGGAUUUGCAGAGUCAACAGCUUGCAGUGUGAUAUUGAUGUUCUUCCAAGGUAUGUAUUAUGCUAAGCAUUAUAUAAAUAGCCCUCUCUCCUUCAGUAUUGGAAGAAUAUUCAAGCAUUAGUGUGCUUUGCCACAACAGGCUGCUUGAUGCAGUGCCUAAGCUGCUCCAAUAUCAUUUUAUAUGUGUGCGCCUAACUAUUUCUUUUUACAGAUAUUGUGUGUGUGUGUGUGUGACUAUUUCUUUUUACAGAUAUUAUAGGCGUGUGUGUCACUUUUUGUUAUACAAAUAUUAUAUGUGUGUGUGUAACUUUUAGCGCUUAUGUUUGAUGAAUUGAAAUCCUUACAAGGUGUAAGUGCAGUGCAUAGUGAAUAGAGAUGUGAGAUAAGAAAAAAAAUUAUGUUAGGUAAAUCAAGAUUAAAAAAAAGGUUUGGUAAAGGUAUAAAUUAGGGAAUGGGGAUCUUUAGUUCUUAAGGAUAGUAAAACACUGUUGUCAAACUAAAAAAGAAAUAGUAAAACAUGAUUUGUAUUUAUACAUUUGAAUGUAGGUUAAUGAAAGUUCUAUUAUGGGAAACAUAUAAUUACAGUAAUUUUUUGUUUAUUGUUUUUUUUUGUUAAGAAUGACAAUUUUGAAAGGUGAGGUAGUAGUGUAGUCUAUGAAAAGAAAAAAAAGUUAGGUUGUGUAAACAUUUUCCCUUUCCUUUUAAUGCUGGAUGUAGAUCAAUCACAAGAAUUUAAUUUCAUACGCGACCAAUCUAAAGAAGAAUUAGAAAAGUAAUUAUUUCCUUUUUCAUGUGGAUCAAUUAACUGAAUUGAAGCCUUUUUAGUUUCGAUAAAAGUUUUAACACUCCAAGAUUGCUUGAGCCUUUGGAGCUUCUAAUAUUGUAGCUGAAUAAAACUAGAGCCAAAUAUAUUUUAUGUUAUUUUUUUUAUAAUCUAUGUUUAACAUAAAAAAUGCAUAUUGUCUCAACGAAUAUGCCUCACACUGUCAUUAAGGUAACAUUCAAGACAAAUUUGAGAUAAGACUAUAUCUUAAGACAUAUUAAGAGCACAUAUAUAAUUCAUGCAAUCAUUUAUUUUUGUUGUCCAAUAGUGCAGAUAUAUCAAAUCAUGACUUAAUAUAAAAUUAUAAAUGGAAGAUGAAAUUAAAGCAUUAUUGAAAGUGAUGAUCAGAAAAUACUUUGAUUAGUUCAAGUGAGUUUUGUGUAUCUUUCUUUCCUAUAGAUUCUUGGAGUCCUCUUAUGCAAUAUAUAUAUAUAUAUAACAGUAGGUGCAAUCACAAUGGAUGUGAUGAACUUAAUUUAAUUGAGACAAAUUAAUGAAUUGAAUUGUCAAAGUGAUUGACUAAUCACUUGGAUGCCAUGGGUAAAGCAGACAUAUGAAUUGGACGCUAAAUUACUUUCAAGCACUAAUAGCUGCUGUAUUUCAUAGAUGUACAGAGUUGAAUUAAUUCAGUUUAACAAAAAGAGAUUGUGAUACAAAAAAAUCACUAGUUAAUAAACAACCAAAAUUUAGUAUGAAAAAUAAUAAAUCACCAAAAGUUUCGGUCUUGUUAGAAAAAAAAUUUUGUGUCAGCAUUGCUCCUACUUUGCUUCAUACGCAUAGAUAAUAGAACUUGUAAUAAGCACAGGACUAUAAUAUUGCAUACAUGCUGAAUUCUGGGAGAAACUACCAAAAGAUUGUGGAAUCUCUCGUCUUUAAAAGUCUUCAGGUUCUUAAGGUGCUUGACAACCGAAUCCCUACUUGGUGAUGUGAAACCCAAGGUUUGCUAAUAGAAAAGUAAACCACCAGGGUUGAUUGUUAAUGAGCUCAUAGAUCACAAAUAGUUUCUCUUAAGAUCUGUACCUUAGAGUGAUAAUCAUGAAAAGAUAGAAUACCCUAGCAUUUAGUUAUAGGAUGUAAGCAAACACAAUUUUUCUUUAGAAAACAUGUGGUUUCAAGGGUUCUAAAAGAAUUUAAGUUCACAGUAUUUUAGUAAAAAAACAAAUAGUAGAAAAAGCAAUAUAUAUAUAGGGGUAUUAUUGCGUUAUAACAAUGUUCAAAGACAUUUUUACCUAAAUGAGCUCCAUUAUACGUUGUUUUUAAUUAGUGGUUUGAAAGGACUACAUUUACCAUAUAUAGGUAAAUCAUUGCAUCAUUAUUUGGUCUGCUUGUCCUGUGAGUGAGCAUGCCAUACAUAGACAUGCUAAGAAUAUCUCACUGUGAUCAGAACCUUUGACAUGUUUAUGCUGAAAGUCUAUUAAUGUGACUGGAUGUGAUGUCUUCAUUCUAUUGUUAGACUCUUAGUUCAAGCUGAUUGGCAAGGCUAGUCAUAGCAUCUGUCUCUUCUAUUCUUUGAGCUUUAAGGCUUCAUCGUUGCUCUGCAGUUUUUUGAGUAAUCACCUUCUUUUUUCUACACUCAGCCUCCAUUUUGUUAUGGUCCUGUGGGGAGUCCACAUAUGGGUUUCAUGUGUAUGUAAUUUGUUUUGAUGGCCACCUGAACUGAUUGCUUCUUAACUGAAUUAUUGAAUUCGGUAUUUGAAAUUCAGUAGAAAUCAAUUGCAUGAAAUUAAACUUCUAUUUUGCUGUACUGCUCUUUGAAGAGCUUGAGGUGGACUCUCCAAAGAGCCUGGAAAAUGGGGAGGGUGGGAGGCUAAUAGCCCCACAGGAGGCAUGUAACCGAAUUGCUGAAGUGGUGCAAGAGGCCAUAAGGAAGAUGGAGAUGGUGGCUGAUGAGAAGAUGAGAAUGUUUAAGAAAGCACGCAUGGCUCUUGAGGCAUGCGACCAUGAGCUGGAGGAAAAGGCCAAGGAAGUGGCAGAACUAAAGCUAGACAGGCAAAAAAAGAAGCUACAGAUAGAAGAGCUAGAGAGAAUUGUGAGGCUUAAGCAGGCAGAGGCUGACAUGUUCCAGCUCAAAGCCAAUGAGGCAAAGCGAGAGGCUGAGAGGCUGCAGAGAAUUGCGCUUGCUAAGACGGACAAAUCAGAGGAAGAAUAUGCUAGCAGUUACCUCAAGCUACGUUUAAGUGAAGCUGAGGCAGAGAAGCAAUAUCUAUUUGAGAAGAUUAAGCUGCAGGAGAGUUCACGUGCAUCACAAAGCAGUGGUGGGGCUGACCCUUCACAGGUGUUGGCAUAUUCCAAAAUCCAUGAAAUUCUUCAUGGGUACAAUGUCCCCCCAAAGACAGAAGCACAGCCAAACGAUCGCCACCAUUUCAGGACAAAUCCCUGAACAAGCUGGGUUGCUCCCCGCCACUUCUGCUCAUAAGUCAGUAAGCUUUUUCUCCACGUCAUAUUUGUACCGUCUUUCACGUCCUUCAUUCGGAAUGAAAAAAGGGGGUCGAUUUCAUCUAUAUCGAAACCCGCCUUCUGCCAAGUUAUAUAGCAAGGAUUGACUGUGUUGUUUAGAAACGUCACUCUUGUUGAAGUGUGAAUGAAAUGCUGUUUGGAUUCAUUUGAACGUUGUGGUUUUCAUGUGUUUGGGAGUGGUGUGAUUAUGCAUGGUAGUUUUUUUUAUGUGGAACUAAAAAAAAAAAAAAAAAAGAAACCCAAGAAAAAGCAUGUAAAACUUGUUUUUACGGCAGUGUUUUGUGCAUUAAAUAGGUUGUAUAUAAAAAAAUUAAGCUACCCAGCCACGUCACUUUCCAAAUACACAUUUAGACCGUGUUUGUUUGUUUAUGUCGCUUUUCAUGUUUAUUGGAAAGCAAUUUUUUUUUGAAGUGGGUUUUUUGGACAAUAAAUUCUUGAAAAGUGAAUUAUUUUACGAUGUUUGGUAGUGUCAUGAAAAAUAAAUUGAAAAACACUUUCUAAUAUUUGAUAGGGGUGAGCAAAAAAACUGAAAAACCAAGAAAACCGGAAAAAAAAUAACCGAAAAAACCAAACAAUGAAAAAAACUGAUUAAACCGAUUAAAAUUUUAAAAAAACCGACCGGUUUGGUUCGGUUUCUGUUUUAUAAGCCUGAAACCGAAAAAACUAAAUCGAACCGAACUUAAACUGAAAAAAACUGGAAAAAAACUCAAGCCAAACCGGAAAAAAACCGAGCCAAACCGAAAAACCAAGCCAAAUUGAAAAAACCAAGCCAAACCGGUUUGAACCGGUUUCGGUUUUUUUAAAAAAAAAUUUGGUUUGAUUACUUUUUUUUGAUAAAAACCGAACCGAACUGAAAAUAAUCAUCCCUAGUAUUUGGUUAUGUUAUGGAAAAUAGUUUAUUAAUGUUUUAUUUUUUUCAAGUUUAUUAAAAUAAUAAGGAAUAAAUCUUAAAAAUUAAAAAGUGUUUUUUAUUGACCGGAAAAUUUUUUUUGUUGACUAAUUUUUCUAAUGAUAAAUAAACACACAAAAAGUUUAAAAAGUAAAUUCCUGAAAAUUGAUUUAGAACAAACAAACUUGGUCGCUACGGUUUAGAUUGCUCUUUGUUGCUCUAUUUGUGACAUUGUCAUUGCAGUCUUUAUGUUACAGGUAUGCUUUUUUGGCAGCACUUUCUGGUCUCUCUUUUCUUUUUUUAGGUUUGUUGAUUCAGGUUUAGGCCAUGUGUAAGUGCUCUGCUAUUUUCUUUGGUUGCUCGCCUUCGUGAUUUAUUUCUAAUUUUUCUGGUUGUGCCAGGCAUGCCUGUUGUUUGCUUCAGGCAGGGUGAUGUGUUUCGUAUGGAGGUUGAUUAUGCAGGUCUGGCUCUGCAAUUGAAUCGGGACUCUGUGCUUUUAUGGUUGCAAAACACCUCCAGGUCUGUUUUGUUCAAAACUCAAUAGAGGCCCUUUUUUUAGCUUCUGCUUUUGAAAUUUCCAGUGAAACGCAAGAUGCUCCUCCACAAUAGAGGUCCGUCCAUGCACUGCCAUAAGUUUUCAUGACAGCUAUCUCUUUCUAGCUCUUUGAGGAAAACACCCACAAUAGCUGAAGAAGAUCCAUCAUGCAGUGUGCCAUCACCAUCAAGUUUGGACGAACCAGCCAUACCAGCUCAAUGUCAACGUCUCUUGCCUUCUGCGCACACGCGGCCAGUGUGUUUGAGAAUGAGGCAUGGUGAGGUGAGAUUGAAUAUUUUUUUUAUAUAUAGAUAUAAUUUUUAUAAAACAUAAAUCACAACUCAUAGAGCUGGUUCAUUUUUUAUAUUUUAAAAGUGUUUUUAAAAUAAAUUUAUUUUUUUUAUUUUUUUCUUUGCAUCAAAUUUUUUUUUCAAUUUUUUUUUCAGAUUAUUUUGAUGCGCUAAUGUCAAAAAUAAUUUUUAAAAAAUAAAAAAAAUAUUAGUUUGAUGCAUUUUCAAGGAAAAAACACUUUGAAAAGUAAUUACUACUAUACUUCUAAACACUCCUUAAAAGCGUGCAUGUUCAAGAAUGCUAGAAGUUGUUUUCAAAGUGUUUUUCACUUGAAAAUAUAUUAAAAUAAUUUUUUUAUUUUUAAUAUUGAUAAAAAAAUAAAAAAAUUUAAUUUAAAGCUAAACAAACAUUAAAAAAAUUUUAGAAGUGCAGUUAAAUCGCAAUGCCAAAUAAAAAUUUACAUGGGUAUACAAGCUCAUAAUAAAUUUGAAAUACCACAUUUAUUUAUGAGCGUAAAUUUUCAUUUUGAACCAUAGAUGAAUUACCAGUUAGAAACCUAUCAACACAUUUAAAUUAUAUUCAAACCAUACAAUGCAAUUUAUCUAAGGUAAGGUAUGUUAGGGGUGUUAAUAGCCUAAUACCUUUUUUAGUCAUAAUUUAUUAUUUAUCCUAUAAUUUUAGAUAAAAUCAGUCCACUCGAGUUUUCUAAUGAUCCUGAACCAAACAACUACAUAACGAUUCUUUAAUCCCGACAUCAUAAUACGGUGCGCACGUUCUACAAUAGGCUUCAAGAAAAAGAAGGGGCUCUUUAUCUUGGCUGGAUGAACACGGAUUUGGCGGCAUCUUGUGCAUGGAAGUGAUGCAUGCUGAUUUUAUUUUUCUCAUUUAGGAAAGCAGGCAACCAGCUGAGGUAGAAUCUCUAGGUUUUCCUUUUUUUUCUUUUCUUUUUUCUCUUGGCCGUUAGCUCUAAAUGGUUUGAAGAGGAAGGCAGUAGCCUCAGCUGUGUACUUUGCUUUUACAACUCUUUAAGUUUCCCAGUUCUUUGAAACCAGCAGCUCAAUGCUUUUAACUUUUUAGCUUUUCAUGGCCUUGGGGGAACCAAGUCUGGUUUGGAGCAUUAGGCAUUCUGAUUCCAAGGCUUCAUCCUCUGAGCCUCUGUCCAUACCAGUUUCCUAAUGAAAUGCUGGAAUUUUUUUCAUAUGAUUCUUGGUCACUGCCAUGAAAGACAAGACCUGCACAACGCUUACAGAAAUUGAAUUGUGAUUUGUUAAAUGUUACGGGACUUGUACAAGAACUGGCAUAGCAUGUAGGGAUUCCAUUGGAACAGUUUUGAAAGGUAGAGGUCUUGUUUGCAAGUGCAGGUCAAUAGCGCAAGGAGAAGCAUUAGCCAUCAAGAUUCCACCUCUAUUGCCUAUGUCCUAUUGUCGAAGAUAUACAGCACCAGCUUAAUAGUAUGCCUGAUGUUAUAGUUACAGUAGUAGCAUGUUGCAGAUUGGAUAGCUAAGGCUGUUAGAACCAGCCCCUUCCUUGAAAUUGUCCAGAUUGGGUUCAUAAGCAGCAAUUUGCUUCUACUGAAAUAUCUGUGGUCUGAAACGCUUAUUAUGUUGAGAAAAGAAAAAAAAAAAGACUUGCCGUCAGUCAGUUUACAGACAUGAGGCCUGCUUUGAAUGAAAUAUGGGCUUUACAGCAAAAGCUAUUAAUUUGACAGUUCGAAGACAAGCGCUUAUUGCAAGGAGGAAGGACAGUGGUGGCUGAACUAAAAUGUACGGAAUGCAGAUACAGAACGUACCAAACUAGCUUCCAGGAAUUGUAACUCAAGUUUGGAACAUCUUUUUACCAUGUUCAAAUGCUUUUAAUGAUGUUAACAAAAAAGCUGUCACAUAUCCGAUACUUGCUGUUAUAUUUAAUGAUAAAUUGACCUAUAUAGAGCUGGAGGUCGUUUCCCUCAAUUCUAAAAAUCAAUCUGUUUCAAUUAGCUUAGGUCAGGCUCUGAAUUUAGCAUGUGCUGUUCAUUUGGAUUACUCUCUGGACCUGGAGUAAUAAUGGUACGAACACCGCAAGCAGCACUUUUCUCUUUUGAUUCAGUUCUUGACUCGCCAUCAUGUUGCUCCGUUGAUCUACCUGCUGACACAGGAUUGGCAAUGAUAACAAUAGCAGUUGCUUUCGUGACACUUGACUUGCCAUUUUGCUGCUCCCUUGAUUCACUUUCAUGGCCUGAAAUGCUUUCUUUCCAUUUAUUUCUCAACUCAGAAUUCAUUUUCUCCUCCGAUUUGAUGUUGGAAUCCGAACUAUUAUAAGCAACCAUGUCAUGGGAAAUGGGAGAUGGCAUCACUUUCUCCUGAUUUUGCACCUGACACGCCAUUCUGGAUGGUAGUUGUACAAGUGUUGAGACCAGUUGUGUUUUGAGCAACAGUCCUCGAAGGAGGCAUAUCGUGAUCAUGUUGUCCCUCAUAGCUGGUUAUAACUAAUUUUGGGUCAUUAUAUGCCCUCUCUACAUGUUUCUUAACUGGACAUCCGGGACUGGAACACCUGUAGUAGCUCCUACAUAAUGGAGGGUAGAUCAAAGUCAGCAUGUAAUCGGAAUACUUUGGUCUCCACAUAAAGAAAUCACAAUCUCGUCAUUAUGCUACCAAUAUAAGCAGGCAUCUCCUGACAUAUAUUCACAACCAGAGGGAAGAGAUGUAAACUAAACAUGUAUAAACCAAGGUCUAACCUUGUUGAGUUCAUUAAAUUUGGCAGUUACCUGGGAUUUGGAUUGCCUUUAACCAAUUUCUGCCCAUAUUUACGCCAACGAUACCCAUCAUUGACAGUGUCAACCUCGCAUUUUGUUUGAAUGACAAGACGUGGCUCACCAGUUGGCUUAUCUAAAGGAGUAGAAUCAUCAUUACAGUUACCUUUCUUCCUGUUUUGUUCAUUUGAAACAAAAGAGAUAGAUCACACGUGAAACAAUAGAGUAAAAUAAAUUUACAGCCAUUUUAAUAAUUUUCUGUGCUUGAAACAAUAGAGUAAUAUCAAUUUACAGACAUUUGAUUAACUUACCGUUGUUUUGAGCGUUGAUCAUCAUCAAUCUCAUCCCUUAUCCUAUUUGGUUCUGAUAGCACACGCUUCACAUACUCGCUGGAUGUAACAGUAGAAAUCUGAGAGGUAGUUGUUGGCUCAAUCGGAUUAGGUGCCUGACUUUCUUCAUUUAUCAAUUAGUGAAAACAUAAGACAACACAAUAAUGAUUACUUGUUAGUUAAGAGCAAAAAAUGAACAAUAUGGUGAUUUUUCGCUGUUACCUUCAACAGCAGUCAGUAAAAGAUUAUCAGGUUUUUCUUCAACAGUGGACAGGUCGCAACCAACUGCUUGUGGGAGGUUAAGUUGAGGUUUGGGAUGCUCAUGCUCACCAAUGUAAACGAUAUCAGCAAGCUUCCCAUCAUGUGAGCACUCCAAUUGCUUUUUCACUUGGCAACUUGGAUGUGUACAUUUGUAAUAGCUCCGUAUAAAUUCAUUUCCUUUAACAAGUUUCUGCCCAUAUUUUCGCCAGCGAUAUCCAUCCUCUGACACUUUUUCCCGCAUGAUAGAAGGACUCCAUCUUUCCUGACCAGAUUGCAAGGAAUGGAGAUCACUGCCAGGGGUAUGUGACAAUUUCCGUGGUGUUAAGGAAGAAACACUUCCUUCUUUGUCUAACUGCAAUAUACGCCCCCCAGUAUUCUCGAAACGUUUCUCAGGGGCAUUUGAAGGAGGAAUUCCUUCUUGUUGUGAAGCAUCACCUCCACUGCCACGGGUCUGUUGUGCAGUGUCAGUCCCUCCAUCUAGGCUCUGUCUUUUCUGCAAUUCCUUGGGAGAAACUUCCUCUGACGAGACCAUGUUAAUUUGGUAAGUUAUAGAAGAAACCAAAGAGAUAAAUUCAAGGUGCUGUUAAUACAAUUGACAGCACACUUGAACAAAUGGCACAUGGUGGUGGCUGUUCAUACCUGAGGAAGCAUCAAAGUAAAAUUAAUAACAGUGAGAAUUUGCAAAUUGACAAUCGACACCAACUAAUUCAAGUUUCAAACAAAAAUUUUAGAACUUCUUCAGUCAUAUGGAGAACUUAAGAAAAUGCCAAUGAAAAUUUGGUAAUCACUAUCAUGUAAACCUGAUUUUGAAUUGAGGCAUGAUGAAGAAAAUGUCGAUGAAAAUUUUGUAUAUGCAUCAAGCACUGGUAGAAAUUUCAAUCCUCGUUCAAAUAAUUAGAGUAAAUUAAAGAGUAAAUUAACACUAAUAAACAGGAACAAAAAAUUCAAAUAAAAAUCGUAGAAAAAUUAGUCAUAAAUACAGUAAUAAUUAGAGUAAACCAUCUAUCUGCUACUCUCGUAAUAUAAAUUACCUAAAAUAGUAACCAGUCUUCAUUUUUUAUUUUUAUGAUGGUGGUGAUGAUGAUCAGGUGGUCCCACUCCCACGCGAAACCCUAGAAUUCUGACUCUCGACUCAAUCAGGGCCGUAGAUCGCAUCGGAACCAACCGGCGACUACCGAAGUUCCGAUGAGGGUUUCACUUUGUUCUUUUUUUUAGCUGGUGUGGUGAGCCCAAGGGAAGGGGCUUUGGAGAGUUUAAGGUUAUAAAAGCAAGAAAAGUCCAAUCAGACAGACAGGCUGAGUACGAGAGGAGAGAGAGAGAGAGAGGACAAUACGGGCAUCAUUAGUAUUGAGUAGAAAAAAAGCAAGAGAAAAUGAUCCCGUGAUUCAUUGCAUAUAUAUAUAUAUAUAUAUAUAUAUAUAGACACACAGGAGAGAGAUUUUAUUUUUUUCUGGUAUAGUAAUUUGUUUUGAAAGUGUUUUUUAUUUUAAAAUAUAUUAAAAUAAUAUUUUUUUAUUUUUAAAAAAAUAUUUUUUUUACCUAUAUUAAAAUGAUUUAAAAAUAUAUUAAUUUAAAAAAAAUAUUUUUUAAAAAAAAUAUUUUUUAACCACGACUGUGCUCUUGCUCUGCAUAUAUACAAAUCCAUAUUUCUUUUGACAGAUUCAUUGCACUUACAUUUGUAUUUUAAAUUUUUCCAAUAAUUUAACCAAACUUUAAACCUCGUUAUGGUGUUUUCAUGUGCCAAUAUAUACAAUUGUAAUGUAGAUUGUUAUAAUAAAAUUAUUUAUUUACUCUUGAGUGGAAAAACAAUGGAUCUUGAGGCUUGGGGUUUUUAGUUUUUUAUAUUGGUUAAUUGGUUAUGUUAAGGGAAAAGUUAUUAAACCCGGCCCGGGGAUUGACCCGACCAAAGAGUCGGGUCCCGGGUUUUAUGGGUUGACCCGGGUCAACCCAUAAAACCCGGAUUAUUUAAAGGUUAGGUUAGGUUAAAGAUAAGAAAUGGAAAAUGGAAGGCAAUGAAAUGGGAUGAAUGUGGCAUUCAUGUUGUUGGUUGUUUUGUGCAGAGAAAGGGCUCAUCUCAUCACCAUCUCCUCACAAAGUUUAUUUACCCUCUCUGACUUCAUCACAAGCAACCAAGUUGUCUCUCUUUUUUGAACCAUCAGUUUUGUGCAAGGAUGAACACGACUUGUUGGAAUCCCAGAAGCACAGUCCUUGCUCCUGUUGCCUCUCUCUCUCUUAAAACUGUGAGUUUGGUCCGCCCCCCACUCGACGACCAAGACCUGCUAACGAAGAGGAAACGGGUGAGCGAAGAGCUUCGUUUGCUUAUUCAAAUCGGAGCCAUCAAAAGGAAAAACAAAAUAGCUGACCAGCUUCUCGAUUGGAUGGCACUGGAUAAUGAAAUGGAUCGUACCCUCUUGGACGAUUUAUAUAAUCACUUAUAUGAUUUGUCUGAGGAGCAGGGGAGGAUUCCUUCAAAUAUCUAAUCUAUUCUUUUUUGCUUUCCUUGAGGCUCACGUUCCAAUUACAGUCCUCCUACCAGCCAUUUCUUAGCCAUUUUUAGUUAUCUUGCUUGGAAGUUUUCUUACAUCCCCAGUUACAGUCAUCAAUAGUCAGGGCUAGAAGGAAGAAAUGGGAACCCAACGCCAACCCUCAAGAUCUCCAAACCCAGAUCUGCAAUCAUCUCAACAGACCCAACUCCAAAACGUCAGGUCUCGUUCGGGUUUGCCCGGGUCGCCCGGGUCAUGGGUCGACCCGCCGGGUCGAUCGGGUUUUUCCAGGUCAUUGCAUCGGCCAGUCUUUUGACAAGCCCGAACCGGUCUAGCCACCGGGUCGGCCGGGUCCCGGAUCAACCCGUCGGGCCAGUCCGAGUUUAAUAACUCUGGUUCAGGGUGUAUAAGUUUUUUUUAAUUUUUUUAAAUAAUAAAAAUAUUAUUUUACCUUUAAAAUUUAAAACUGUUAAAACUGUUGAAUAAGAUUUCUUAACUUUUUACAAGUUUUUUAAUAGUAAAAAUACUUAUUUUCAAAGUCAAUAAAAUUUAAAAUUAUUGGCUAAGAGUUUUCUUGAUUUUCACAAAAUUUAAAAAAUUAUUAGGCUACUGGAUAAGGGUAUUUUCAGUCGGUUUUUUCAUUGUCUACAGUACAAGUAUGAAUUUAGCCUUGGAUUGGACAAAAAAAAAUAGUUUUGCAUUUGGAGAUAUUUUUAUGCUUUCACACAGGUAUUUUGUGUAAUUAAUAAGGUCAUGAGCAGUGUUUUAGUAUUUUUCAUGUUUACUUUUGAAUAUUUAAAUCAGAAAGUUGUCAGCGUGUGUUGAUUACACGCCAAUGAGUGGGUGGCAUCAGCGUCUUCAGGAUGGGCGUGUGAUACCACUCGGUAGCCAAAUAUGGUCUUUCGUUGUCUCCUUGGAUGCUCAAUUGUAUCCUCUUCCACACGGAGUGACGCAUGUCAGCUUAUGGUGAUCGAAUUGUCACCGAUAAUCGUUUGUUUUUUCCCCUUUUUUUCUCUCUCCUGACAUAUAAAGUACAUUUAUAUCCUCUUUGUUUUUUAUUUUUCAAUUUCAAUCCCCGUUCUUUUAAUUUCAUAUUUUGUUACUAUUCUUUUUAUAGAUGUUUUUUUUUUGUUUGGCGAUUUAGUCUUUCAAUUACACUUUCUCAUAUGUUUGAUUUUUAAUUUCAAUACAUAUUCUUUUAAUUUCUGAUUUUGUUCUGAUUCCUUUUAUAGUUUUAGUUCUCAUUCUUUUAAUUUCUUAUUUCAUUUUUAUUCUUUUUAAAGAAGUUUUUUUUUCAAUUUAGUCCUUCAAUUACAAUUUAUCAUUUUGUUUUGUUUUUAAUUUCAAUUCUCAUUCUUUUAAUUUCUUAUUUUGUUCUUAUUCCUUUUAUAGAAGUUUUUUUCUUUUCAAUUUAGUCUUUCAAUUACAAUUUCUUAAAUGUUUUGUAUUUCAUUUUGGUCCUUAUUUUUUUUUUAAUGUUUUUUCCUUUGCCCUUUUGUUGAAGGUAUUGUUUUUUCGCUUUCAAAUGCAUCCUUCAAUCAAAUUGUUUUUUCAAUUUAACCCUUAUUCUUUUGAUUUUCUUUUGUUAAAGCUAUUUUUCAAUUCAAUUUAACUCUCCAUCUGAAAAAUUUUAUUUUCCCUUUAAUUUAUGCUUUUUUUUCACCCUCAAUUUGUUUUAGAUCCUUUUGUGUAAUUGAUUUUUUUCCUGAUUUCAUCUUUCAACAUUUAUUUUGUCAAAGAUUCGGUUUCAUGCAAUUUUAUCGUUAUGCAUUAGUUUUUUAAAAAAUAAUAUUGGUUUUGUGAUUAUCUUCAAAAACAAUUUCCAGUAGGUUUAUCACGGUCUCAAGACCUAAGUCAUGGGUUUUGCAUGUCAUUUUGUUAAUAUAAGAUUUUUUAGAAUUGUUUUGUUUGUGUUGAUUUUUCAAGAUACUAUUUCUAAAAAAAAAAUAUUCAUUUUUAAAUAAUAUCAUUGAUGUGUUAGGCCUGGCGUAAUUUUUUUUAAGGGCAUGGGUUUAUUUAAUCAGUCUCAUUUGUGAUUAUUUUUUAGGUCAUGGAUAUUACAUUCAUCUCUCUUUUUUUUUCAAUUUUGUUUUGGUUAUUGUUAAAUACUUUUUUUGUUUAUUUACAUAAAUGGUUGUCGAUUUAUUUAAUUAGAUGCUUGUAUAAGCUUUUUGAUUUACACUUUAAUUUUUUUAUGUAAGAAAACACAUCGAAGUAGCCUGCAUACCUUGUAUUUUUUUUGAAAAAAAAUUACAACCCACGACAAAGCAUGAGUUAGAUAGCUAGUGUGAACUUAGUUAUGGUUGUUCACGGUUCAGUUCGGACUACAAAAACCAACUGAACUGAGUAACUCAAAUUUUGGAAAAUUAAAAUCGAACCGGACUGAAAACUGGUACAAACCAAAGCAGUUCAGUUCGGUGAAAUUCAAUUUUUUUACCAUAAAAUCGGGAAACUUAAUCCUAUCAUAGAUAGGCUUUUUUGGAUUUUUUUUAAAUGGGCUUAUAUUAAAUUGGGCUUUUAAAUUUUCUUGUUGGGUUAAGUUUACAGGCUUUUUAAUCAAACUCUUUAACAUUUUCUUAUUCGAUUUAGUUUGUUGUAAGGCUUUUUAAUCAAAAUAAUAGAUUGAUAUUUUUUUUAAUUUAACUUUGUUUAUUAACCUUAAAUAUAUAUCAUUAAUAAUAAAUUUGAAAUGUUUUACAUCUUGCUAUCUUUAAUGUGCAAAGAAACUCUUGUAAGAUGAAAGCUAUGAAAAUCCAAAUCAAUAUGAAUGCAAUAUGCAAGAUGCAUGAUCAAAUUUAGGCACCUCAAAUUAAAAGAGGUGUUCACACUAGAAAAGUUAACAUUAGCAAACAAAUACAUUAGCAACCAACAAUAAAUUAUCAUAAAGAUCCAGCAUGGUUUGAAGAAAAAAAUUCAACAACAACAGCAUCCAAAACUUCCACCAACAGCAAAAGCCAAAAGAUCCAGCAAGGAUAAUGCUAUAAAGAAACACUAGCAAAUUAGCAACAUAUUAGAGUUCGACUAUUAAAAGAAUUAACAAUGCAGAAUUUUAAAGGGAAUUAACAAGGUAAAGUAAAACAUUUAUAUUCCAGGAUUGCACCAACAUCAUCAAUACUAUUUACAAUCAAUUGAGAUUUUCAAACUUUCACUAAAUUCUACAAAAUCAUAAAUUAAAAUGUUAGAUUAAACAUAAAAAAAAAAAACGAUAUUAUAAAAUAACAGCAUUUAAAUUUGUAAGAGAAAUUACUUGACUCAAUCAUCUUGAAAUUUUUAAUAUAAUCCAUGAAAGUUCUAAUGUUGAUUGGAAUUGGUGCUAAACACAAUCAAUUUUGACAACAAACAAGUGCUUGCACUGUCGAUGAAGCUAGAAAGCUUCGAAAUGGAUUUAAUAUACAAUCGCCAAUACUGAAAGCUGCUUCAGAAACAACCGUAGAUACCGGGAUAACUUAUACAUGUUGUGCCACCUUAGAAAGAAUCUUGUAUUUUGUAGCAUUACACCUCUACCAACCCAAAACAUCUAAUUUAAAUUCAUUAGGAUCCUCCAAAUUAUCACUCAAAUACCUCUCAACUUCAUUUUUUCUUUCUACACCACCUUUUUCCUCUAAAUAUUUUUUAAAUUAAGAAGCUAAGUCAUCUAACAUAUCAUCGACCACCAUUAAAUCAACAUUAACAUCUUCAUUUAUACUAGUUCCAACACUAUGAACAACUUCAACAUCAUCAUCAACAUUCAUAUAAUUCUCGAACAACCUUAGCAAAGUAUCUUUAACCUUCAUUGUAAAAUUUUCAGCCUCUUCAACAUCAUAUAAUCUCCCAAAACAAAAUCUCAUAUACUUCAAUUUAAAACGUGGAUCUAACACAACAACCACAUACAACAUAAAGUUUUGUGUAUCUUGAUCCCCCUAAUAUUUUUUAUACUUUGUCAUCAUAUUCUUGGUCAUUAUACUUACAUAAACAUCUUCACUUCUACAAAGUUGAGAUAUGUUGUGUGCAUGGAAAUCAAUUCAUGGAAGAAAGAAUUAGAUGUCACAUUCAAGGAGCCAGAAAAUUUUAAUGUGACCAUGUAAAAUAGUUUCAAGAACUUCACAAAAGAUCUAGUUUUUUUCCAAUCUUCUAAAAUAGAAGGACCUAAGUCUUUUUUUGUUUCCUUUUUGAAUCAACCUCAAAGUAACUCAAAUACCUAGGAUCAGUUUCUUCUAACCUCAUAAAAACUGAUGCAACCAUAUUAUUUGAUAGUUUCACCCACAUCUACCUAAUGUUUUGUCAAUGUUUUAUAUAUAAAAUGUCUUGAUAUUCUUUGUUUUAUGUUUUGAAAGUACUUUUGGAUGAAAGAUGCAAAAAGGAGUAAAUUGGAGAUAAUUGGCAGAUUUGAUGUUCAGUCGAUGUUUUGUGCAGAGCGUGAGUUCUAGAGAUCGAAAUGAAGUGAUUCUAGUGGCACUAAAAAGCUAACAUCCAUACCUUUCUGGAAGUGUAAUGCAAGAAAAAUAAAAAGAGAAAGAUUAUGGAAAUCACAUCCUGCAAAGUCAGAUCUCGCAUUCUGCCAGUGUUGACCUUUGGCCAUUCACAAUUUAAUAUCUGGAGCUACAGAAAUCCAAUUGAUGCAAAAUCAAUUUUCUUGGAUGCCUAAUUCAAAGACAUAUCCACGCUCCAAAUUUCAGCCAAAAACGAUGUCAUAUGAGGGAGAUAUGAUUUUUCAAAGAGGACAACUGAAUUCUGCCAGCAAACAGGUUUCGUGAAGAAACAAGUCCAAAUUACAUUCCGAAGCAUCUAAACCGACAUCCAAGUUUUAUAUCAGCAAUUUAGCUCCUCUAAGUCAGAGCUUGAAGAUUUCAUGCAAGGCUAUUUCUCCUUUUUAGAGAAAAUAGUUAUUGAAGUACUUAAAUGUAAACUGCAACUUAAGGGAGGACUAUUUUGUAAAAUAGAGACUAGGAUUUCUUAGCAUAUAAAAAGAAAGAGAGAAGGGGCUAGCAGCCAGCAGAAAAGAGGGAGAGCAGAAGGAGGCAGUAGCCAGCAGAGAAUAAACACAAAUUCUCUCCUCUACAAACCCAAAAAUCAUGCUCUUUUCAUUCUUUAGAAGUAGUAGUUCAAUAGUUAUGCAAGGCUAAGCUCUUUUCUUGGUUGCAAGGACACAACAAACCUUCGGAUUUCAAGAACCGUGAGAUUUAUUCUUCCUUUUAUUUUCAGUUCAUGUUAUGAAUGAGUAUAAUUGUUUUCCUAUGCAUAUUUCCUAUGAUUGUUGUUGAUGAUUGCUAGAGCGGACUCUAAGUUAUUGUUGUGAACAAUCUAUUGCUAAGUUUAAUAUCAAAACCAGAGUUGUGAUAUAUGAACUUGUGAAGCAACUAAGCUUGAUAAUUGUGGCGGAACUACGUUAUUGAACUUAGGGAGAACAUUUGAACAAAGUGACACAAGCUGCGGACAGCUUGUAUGUUAAUCUUUAUGAAAUUAUCUAGUUUUUAAAGCUACCAUUAAAUUGAAUCAUUAGUGCGGACACUUUGAUUGUUUGUUGGUUAGGAUUAGUUAUACGGCGGAUCCGUUAAUUAAUCAACGUUAAGAAAAGAUAAAAUUUCAGAACAUAAACUGCAAUUUUCGUUUCAAGGAUCGAUUCUAAUUUUCGUUGGUGGAUGUGUGCUUGCGACCAAGGUUUGUUUUCUUGAUAAGUUUCGGUUUUAAUUGAUUUUGUUUGCUAGUUUAAUUGCUGUCAUAGUUUAGAUAAUCACAAACCAAAUCCCCCCAAUUACAUAACGUACAACAUAAGAAUCUGACUUGAAACUUCCUCGUGGGAUCGAACCCUUGCUUGCUCUAUACUAUCUUAUGUGUUGUGUUUGAAGCUAGGGUAAUUAAUUUGUGCGACCGCGACAUCGCAACAAAAACCACAUCAAAUUUAGCAGCAACAUCUAGCAUCAUAUAUAGAGAGUUCCAUAUAGUUACAACAUCCAAGUAAAUAGAUUUUUUACUCCUAAUUUUCAACCUCUCCGCACAUUGGUUAAAAACAAGUUGUCUUGAAGGAGAAGAUCUAACAAACCUUACUGCAUUCCUAAUCUUAACCACUUAAUCAUUAAUAUCUUUCAAUCCCGCACAUACAAUAAGAUUAAUAAUAUGUGCACAACAUCUAACAUGCAUGAAGUCAUUUGACAAUAUAUAAGUUACCCAACCACUUGUUACUUUUUUCAGAUAUUUUAUUGUUAAAUUAUUUAAACUUGCAUUGUCUACUGUAACUGUUAAAAUGUUAUCAAUUCCCCAUUCCAAUAAACAACUCUCAAUCAUUUGACCAAUUGUUUCAUCUUUAUGAUUAGAAACUUGACAAAAGUUCAGAAUUUUUUUAUUCAAUUUCCAACCUUCAUCAAUCCAAUGGGCAGUCAAACACAUAUAAUUAAUAUUCUUGAUUGAUGUCUAAGUAUCGGUUGUCAAAUAUAAACAUUGACCCUUAAGAGCUUUAUUUAAUUUGUCCUUCUCAUCUACAUAAAUUUUCAAACAAUCUCUCUAAUUCAUCAAACGAGAAGGAACAUUAAAUCUAGGUUGCAUUACUUGACAAAAUGAUUGAAAUCCUUGGUUUUCUACAAAGUUAAAAGGUAUCUCAUCAAGUAUAAUCAAUUUUUCUAGGGCUUUCCUACACUCUUCAUAAUUAUAAUUUACUGCCUUAAUAAUUGCUAGAUUUUCCUCUCCAUUAUCACCCCUUUCUAUUAUAGGCUUAGGUUCUAAAACUAAAGUUUUUUGUUUUCGGUCAAUCACAAAAGAAAAUUUUUUGCAUACACCAAGAUGACUCCACAUGUUACUAGUCCCAUUAAAUAUAGUACGACAUGUAUAGUCUUUUCCACAAUACAUACAUGCAGCUCUAAGAGCUUUAGGAUUACUAUCUAGUUUUUUAAAGUGAUCCCAAAUUCGAGAUGUUUUUCUUUUAUUACAUUUAGAAGGUGGAUUACCUUUAGUGUUGCUAUCUAUACUAGAGGUAGUGACUGGAACUAGAACUGGAACUGGAAUAGGCGAAGAAUUGGGUUCCAAACUUAAAGGACUUGAUUCAUUUGGUGUAGAAUCUUCCCGAUUAUCCAUCUAAAAUUAAAAUAACAACAGUAACAUGAAUCUUUUCUUUAGAUUAUCCAUCUGAAAUUAAAAAAACAACAUCAACAUGAAAUUUAAAUUCUUGAAAAAAAACAACAACUUUAUUUGAAAGAAACUACAAAAAUACAAUUAAACCUCACCAAUAAACACCUCAACUUGAGACUAACAGAGCUUCCAAUAAAGCCAAAACAAAGCUCAGAUGAAGCUACUAUAUAUAUACCGAAAUUUUUAGCAUCCUGAUUAAUAAGAAAAUUCAUUGGUAAAGAAAUUUACAAAAAAAAAAAAAGACAAACUAGAUUAAGGAGGCCAGCCUUCUCCAAUGGGCAUUGGUUGUAAUCGCACUUUUCACUAGGCCGCCAAUCUAAAGUUGCACAUAUAAAAUUAUCAUCAGUUUUCGCUAUGAAAGUUACCCCUUUAACAAAAAGACAAACCAGAUCCUCACGACGGCUUGCACAAAAGUAAAGAGUAGCCAAGGAGAUGGAGAUGUGGGUUUUUGUUUGGCUAGAUAAUGUGGGACUUGUUGUGGGUGGGUGGCUUAGUUUUUGAGUUUUGAGAUGGAGAUGUGGGUUUUUUUUCGGCUAGAUAAUGUGGGACUUAAUGUGGGUGGGUGGCUUAGCUUUUGAGUUUUGAGAUGGAGAGUGAAGACAAACGCAGAGCACAGUAGAUGAAAGGGAAAGGAAGAAUGAGAAAACUUUUCUCUAAGCAACGGCUUUUUGUGUUAUCAGUUAUGUUAUUGUUAGGGUAAGGUUAACUGCAGUAUUUAUACCCCUCUUGUUUUUUGGUUGGUUCAGUUUGGUUCAUCAAUUUCAGUUUUAAAACUAAAACCGAACCGAACCGACCAGAUUUUAUGGUUUUGAAAAUUGAUUUAAUUGGUUUUUCAUCUUUAUUCAGUUUUCUCAGUUAAUUUUUCUUCAAUUUUUUUGGUUUUCUCGAUUGAUCGGUCUUUUUGAACACCCCUAAACCUAGUAAAUGUGGUUCCUCAAUCCUUUUUUAAGCCUUUGAUGAUUUUGGAUAAAUGUGUAUACAACAAUUUAUCAGUUAGAAUAGUAGAUGACAGUGUUAAUAAGCAUAUCAAUGUUAUCAAACCUAUCUGCCUUACCUGAUGUAGGCUAGUAUCUAAUAUAAAUCUUAAUGACCAAACAGCUAUCAAAUAUGACAGAAGCCUUCUUUCUUUCUUUUCCUCAUAUUUUAAACUUAUAUUUCUUUUUCCAACCCUAUAAAAUACUUGAAAAUCUAAAAAAAUAAAUUCAAAAAGUGUGAUGCCUUUUAGAUUUUGUCAUCUAGUAGUAUUUAACACUACAGUUACAAUUAAAAACACAUAUAAAUAUAAAGAGCAACAAAAUUAUUAAUUGUCAAUAUAUGUGAUGAUUUUAUGGCUAGAAAAAAUAUAUAUAAAUCUUUAUGCAAAUUGUAAAGAAUUUAAACUAUGAUGAUUAGGGAUGACAUUCAUACAAGAAAGCAACAUUUUCAUCAUUGUAGCAAUUGAUAACUUAUUUUUUACAUAUAAAGUGAUGAAAAUAUUUUAUUUUAAAAAAAAAUUCAUGCAAUGAGGAUAUCAAGAAAACCAGAGAUUUAAUUAUAGGUUUUAAUGUAUAUUAGUAAUGAGCUUGGUAUUGCUAUUUUGAAUUCAAAGUUUUGAACUGCCAUUUUUUUCUUCUUUUGAUCCUCUUAUCAACAUGCGUAUUAUAAAAGUAUAUGCAUCUAAUAACAAUGUAUUGCAAAAUCAUUUAGUUUAUUAACACGAAAACAAUGCAUUGCAACAUUCAAUCGGCAUGCUCCCCAUCACCAUUAGAGUUUGUUAAUUUGUGAGAGAUAAUAUUAACAUUUUUCAAUAAUAAGGAUAAGACUGAAAACUUUUCAAUUAUAAGAGUCAAAGCAUAAAAAAGCAAAAAUGAUCUUGGAUAUUAAUUGUUGGAGUUUUUUUUUUUUAAUUAGCCAACUAGCAAAAAACAAUUUCAAAAUAGGAUAGCUAGAAGUUUAUUCAUUAAAAUAGCAUAAUUUAUUGAGAUGUUUAUUUGUCAAAUACACAUCCAAAUUUAAGGUUGUACAAGUAAUACAUGUGUAAUCUUUAAAUAUAUUUUCUUAAAUUUAAAGAUUGUACAUGUGCAUUCCAACAAUCUAUAUUUUUUUAAAAAAAAAAUGAUUUUUAACUAUGCUAUUUUGAUAAAUAAAAAAAACAAGAUGAAGAAGAAAUUUAGUCAUCGUGAUAGAGUUUUUUGUUUUUUAGCACAAUUAAAAAAAUUAACACAAUUGAGAAAAUAUUUAGGGAUAUAGCACAGUUUUACGAGUUGCAAAUAACAACUGCGACACGCGAGUCACAGAUAUCAUCUACGACUCUUAUUUUAUAUUUGUCAUUUGCAACACGUGAGUUACAAAUAGCACCUGUGAUUUCAUUCGAAAUUUAAACCCAUAGACCAUUUCUCUCCUUUCCUCCUCUCUCUCUCUCCCCAUAUCCACCCACCCUGCUUCUUUCACCACCAUCAACAACCUUCCUCUCUCUCUCUCUCUCCCCCUACCGCGAAACACACCCACAACAACACAAGAUCACCCAUCUCUCUCCAGCCCUAGAUCACCGACCAUCUCUCUCUCCCCCCCCCUCCACAACGGCUCAUCCAUUUUCUAGCCAAAAUAACCACCACAAGUCACCAUCACUACCCACAUUCUAAAUUUAGAGGUAUACUAGAUAGGUGGCUCGUGCUACGCCGUGAGUCGGUUCAUAUUUUUUUAACACAAGAAAAUAAUAUUUAAACGAUGAUAAUCCACAAAUCGAGUUAAAUUCACUAAAGCACGACUGAGGAUAUAAGACCGAAACAACUCGUAGAAAGGAAAGUGAAAAAAAAUCAUAAAGUUCAAGACCUAAUAACCUAAUGUCAAAAAUGAAAAAUAUAUAUAUAAUACUGAAGAAGAAAACCCGAGUCAACUUGGCCUAACUUUAUAAACCUGCAACCUGUGAUAUAAGAUCAGGAUAAACAAAAUGAAAUUCAAAAGAAGUACCUAGCAAAAAAACAAAGUUCAAAAAAAAAACUUGAGCUAACUUAGGUUAUCUUUACCAACCCACCAUCGUAAUAACCAAAUAGAAAGAAAAGCAAAAAACUGACAAAGCUCUGGGGCAAAUUAUUUCAUGCAAAAUGAUGAAAUUGAAAAAAAAACUCAUAAAAAAUUGAGGAAAAAAUCAGACUUCCAAAAGAAGCACUUAGAAAAAAAAAUACCAAAGUUAAAUAAAAAAACUUAAUAAGAAAAUGCAAGUUAACUCGGGUUAACUUUACCACCUCACACUCGGGAUAACUCAUCACGAACUGACGCGUGCAACUAUUUUAAAUAAUAUUUAAUAAAACAUGAUCUAUGGUCAAUAAUUCAAUGGCAAAGGAUAAAAUUAAAAAAAGUCAACUGAAAAAAAAAACAAGUCAACUCAGGUUAACUCAACUAACUUGUUAUCCGAGAUAUGAGGUAGGGAUAACCCAACAAAAAGGAAAGCAGAAUAUAUCACAAAACUCAAGACUUAAUAAUUCAAUGUCAAAUGAUGAAAAUGAGAAUGAAAAAAAAAUAAUUUUUAAAAACAAAUUUAAAAAAGACCGAACUUAAACCGGGUGCAUCAUCGAAACUUGUAGACCGAGUCAUGAGACUGGGAUUACCCUAUAAAAGGCAAACACGAGAAAAUCAAAAAGAAAAACUUCAAAUCAUAAAAAAAUAACUAAAAUUAAAACAAUAAGGACUAAAUCAUGCACACAAAUAAUUGAAAGAAACUAAUCAGGGAUUAAAUGAAAAAACAAAAUAAAUGAAGAAAAAGAUAAAAAAAAAAAAAGAGCAAUAAAAAAAACUAGGACCAAAAUUGGAAACCAAAUAAAAUCAAAUUAAACUACUAAGGACAAAAUUAAAAAAAAAAUCCAAAGCAUAAAAAAUAGCAAUCAAAAUAAUGAGGAUCAGAUUGGAUAAAAAAAAUCUAAUAAGAUUAAAUGAUGAGGGACGAAAUUAAAAACAAAAUAAACUUAAAGAGGCAUCAAAUCUAAAAAAAAAAUAGAAAUCAAACGAAUGAGGACCAAACCCAAAACAAAUAUAAACUGGAGGAUACAACUGAAUUUUUAAAAGCUUUGCACGAAUACCAAGGCCCAUAAGAGAAAAAGAAAAGGGAUGAGGAAAAAGACUAAUCUUUGUCGAACUGUCGCUCAAAUGACAAAACACGCCACCUUAACAUAUGUGUCGCCACCUUCCACGUUAGGUGAGUAAGCGAUCAGCCUUUUUUGACCACCAUAAUGGCCCCUAUAGGCCACUAAAAUGGCGUGGAGGGUGAUGAUGCGCUUACGUGUGUGUGGCACGCGUAGGCCUAUUAUAUUUGUUUAUUGAUAUUAUAAUAAUGCAAAUUACUAAAAAGGCUCUACGGACAUAUGAAUAUUACGAAAAAAAAAACAUGGAUGUAAAUAUGAAAAUACCCUCCCAAGGUCGUAUAUGAUUUUUUGAAGUCAAAGGAUAAACUGAAAUUUGAUUGUACAUAAAAUGUGCAUAGACAAAAAAAAAAAAAAAAAAACCUCUUUUAAAGGCUAAUAUUUUUUAGGCCCGAAGGGUACAGACUUUAUUUAACUGUAUAAAUCAAUUUGUAAAGACACAAAAGUCCCUAGACCAAAGGCUAUUUUUUUAGCUCCCAAGGGCAACAUAGUAUUUUUACUGCACAUAAAAAACACAGAACGACUACUUUGUCCUCGAUCAAUUCUCAAAUGACAUUUGGGAUCCCAUGGAAAAUAUGACUUUACCCUCACUGCCAAGGCAAUUGGUAAGUGCAAUAAAGCGCAAAAGGGCCAAUACACUGUCUAAAUCCACAGUGUUUUCACUCACAAAGCACAAUAAAUAACUGAGCUGAUUUAGUUUUUUAUUUUGUAAUUGAACACUUCUCCUCUAUCAAUUUGAUGUGAUUUAUGUUAAUGUGUAUUAAUUUAAUUUUAUAAAAUGUUAGGGUUUUGAAUUAGAGAUUAUAUUAGUUAGAUAUAAUUUGAGUUGAUAAUAUGUUGUUUUGUAAAAUAAUCAAUGAUUUUGGGUAGUUGUUGAUUAUGAAUUAACAAAAUUAUUUUGGAAGAGUUCAUGUUAAUUUAGGUUAAAUAGUGGAUUAUAUCGAAUUACAUAUAAAAUAAUUAUAAUAUUAGAUAUGAAAUACAUGAAUUUAAUUGAUAAUUUUGUUAUGGUAGCAAAAUUUGAUAAAGGUGUUCACCGAUUAAUUUGAUAAUUUUAGGUUUUAACCGAUUAUAUUACCUUUAUGGUUUUAUUGAUCAAUUAUGCACUUUGAUUAACUCCAAGAUAUUAAUAAAUUAGAAUUGUGUUGUGUUGUGUUGUGUUGUUUAAUAGAAUGUCUGGUAGUUUAGGAAUAUUAUACUUUCAUGGUGGUAUCAUUAUCAAUAACAACAAUGGUAUCACUUAUUAUGGAGAAAGCCAUGAAUUCCUAGCUGCUACAUUAGACAUGUCCCAUAAUAGGUUGUCUAGAAGAUUAUAUGAUCAACUUGGCUAGAAUAUGUUUGAAAUAGAAGUUAAAAUUACCUAGAGGAUGUAACAAAUCAGGAUCAGUUAAGCUCGUUAUGUUGGUGUACUAAUCUAUAGUGAUAGGAGUGUGAAUUCAAUGUUUGGGUUUGUGAGGAUUAAUGAGAUUAUUAUGCUAGAGCUCUACUUGAAUAGUAGACCAAGAUGAGAAAACUCUUCUAGUAUGGAGUUGACUCGGGUUCCAGGUAACUCUCAAAGAACCACACAGACAUCAUGAGAAACUAGUCCAUCAAGGUUUGGUGGUAAUGCAAAUAAAUAAGUAUUGGUGCAGGAAAUUUUUAAUAUAGAACCUUGGUUGAGUAUAACAUCUACUCUAUAUUGCUAUGAAGAAUAUAAACCAAUUGAUGGCGAAGAUGAUCGUCAUAUUAAUAGAAUUGAGGUUGAGGAGAAAGAUGGAGAUACUGAGUUAGUUAAUCCUGUUAAUCAAUACAUAGCUCCUCUUACUCUUGAAUUUAAGGUUACGAGUGUGGAUGACCAAUAUGAAUGCAAUGAUUUGGCUUAUAGUUGUAAGCAUUCAGCCUUGUCAGUUGAUGAAUUGGAAAUUGAAAAAAAAAUUCACAUACAAGUAUGAAUGUAUUAAUGCAAUAAAGCGGUGGCGUAUAAAGAAUUCAUUGCAGCAGAAGGUCUGUUAUUCAACUAAAAAUUGUGUUCAGUUGUAAUAUGUUUAGGAACCAAUAUGUAGAUGGUAUUUGCGUGGAGGAUAUCAUCAAAGUUAUAAUUUAAUGGGAAAUUCCAAAAUUGAAAGGGCUACACACAUGUCAGAACCCUCUUGUUUUGCAACACCAUCGUCAUAUUGACUCAGAUCUAAUUGUUAAGGUGAUGUUGACAAUUAUGAUGAGGGAUUUAAGUACAAGUGUUGCAACAAUUUAAGGUAUUGCAGAGAUGGAUUAUAAGCAUGAAGUCUCCUAUUGGAAGGUAUGGAUGGAUAAAUAAAAAAUAUUAAAGCGGUUAUUUGGUACACAUGAAGAGUCAUUUCAAAACCUACCUAGAAUGUUACUGGUCAUCAAAGACUUAAAUUCAGAAACAAUUGUCACUUAGGAUCAUAAAAUGGUUGAUGGUAAUAAGACAAUAUUUGGGGUAGCAUUUUGGGCACUUUGUGCUUCAAUUGAUGAGUUUCAAUAUUGUUAUCCUUUGAUUAUUAUUGACAGUACUCAUAUUUAUGGUAAGUACAAGGUAAAGUUAUUAGUUGUAGUUGCUUAUAAUAUGAAUAGUGGAGUUUAUCCGUUGUAUUUUGCUAUUGUUGAAGAAGAGACGAAUAAUAAUUGGAGUUGUUUUUUAGAUUUUCCUCGUCGAUAUAUGAUUGACAGUCAAACUGGAUUAUGUAUUAUAUCAGAUAGACAUACAAUGAUUAAGAAUUAUAUGGCAUGAAUUUUUCCCAAACCUAUUAGAUAUCAUCGAUAUUGUUCACAACAUUUUGUAAUUAACUUCAUCACUAAGUUAAAAAAUGUCGCCUUGAAAAAUAUGUUGCAUAGGAUAUGUACAAAUCCUUCUAAACAAGAGUUUGACAUUUUAUAUGAGGAUUUAGUGGAGACUGAUGAUACGAUCAGAGCAUGGCUAAAAGUUGAACCUAAAGAAAAAUGGGCAUUGUCGUAUGAUUUAAGUGGUCAUUGUUAUGGAAAUAUGACUAAGAAUUUAUUAGAUAUUUUUAAUAAUAUUUUAAAAAUUAUCCAUGGCUUGCUUGUAUCAGUUAUAGUGUAUAUAAUAUUUUUUUAGGUGUAAUGAAUAUUUUGUAGAGCGUAGAGAAAAAAUUAAAGAUUUUUUUAGUUGUGAUGUAUUAUGGCCUUAAAAAAAUCCUAUCAGAAAUACUUGUCGAUGCGACAACUUCUAGAUCACACUUGAUAUCUCUAUUUGAUCUUGGAGGCGGGAUAUUUCAUUUUCAGACACCUCUAACAGCUAGUGUUGCAAGAAAAGUGCAGGAAACGAUUAACAUCAAUGAAGUAACAUGUACUUGUAGCAAAUGACAACUAUAUCAUUGACCAUGUUCACACUUAAUUGCAUGUUGCACUUUAUAAAAUGUGAACUAUGUGCAAUUUGUUGAUGAUUUCUACUCUAACUUGUUAUAAAAAAAAUGCAUAUAUUCUUCAUUUUCAACCCUUACCAUAUACGUCAUUGUAGCCUGCAUACACUAGUCCAGAUGUAUAUGGAUGUCAAACUAGAUGGUGAACAAAUAAGAGUCGAAGAAAAUCCACUUGUCUACAUGAUAAAAUGGAUGCUAGAGAGAGGCACUUAUUGAAUAGAUAUGGCAUAUGCGGUCAAAGGGGUCAUAACAGAAAAACUUGUGAAACUAGACAACGUAUGUUAUUUUUUUGUAUUUCUUUUAAAUUAUGUAAACUUCAAUUAUUGUUUUUAAUUCAACUAUUUUGAUGUUUAAUUGUAUUGUAAAGACUAAUAAUUUGUUAUAUAGAACUUCAAGAGAGACAUGGUGUAGACUAUAGGAGGUUUCACUACUUCUAGGAGUGCCGAUAGAUAGGACCACCUAGUUGUUGAGGCUGGUUUUGAUGAUAGGUUGGUUUUAUAUAUGCAAGAUCAGCAUCGUUCUAAUGAUAUUUGGAGUAGAGAGGUUAGAUCUUUAUAUUAAUAGCAUUUUAAUUAAGCAUUAUAAAUUAUUAAAAUCUUAAAGAUUUUAAUUGUUUAAAUAACUAAAUUGUUUGAUUCUUAAGGUGGUGAUCAUGUGAUACCUCAACAUCAUACCUUAAUGAAGUUACAUGAGCAUGUCCGCUUAUUUGUUUUCGAUGCUCGUUUUUAGGAGAUUAGUCAACAGUGUGGCAUACAUCUUAACCAUGUAUUGAUUGUAGCUUUGGUUGAGCGAUGGAGGCAUGAGACACACACAUUUUAUCUAUGUGUUGCUGAGAUGACACUCAUACUUUUAGGAUGUUACUAUAUUGACCAAUCUUAUAAUAAAUGCAACCACUGUGAUAGGAUAUGAAGAGUCAAUUGACAUGUAAGUUUUAUGUAAUCUUUUAUUAUGACAAGUGUUUUUAACGAGUAAGUGAUUACAUCAAAUUGACAUGGUUAGAAAUUAAUUUUAAGACCUCAUAGUAGAUACUCGGGGCUUCCAUAAUACUCUAUCAUCGUGAUACACACACACACACACACACACACACUCGCGCGAUGUCGCAGGAUUGUAUGUUGUCAUGGGUUUGUGAAAAAAAUCAUAUGGAGAAAAAUUGUUGUAAUCCAUAAUAUUUUCAAGGAAAAAACUACAAAGUUAAAUUCUCAACCAGCUUAAAAUUAAAAAAAUAAAAUCAACAAAGAUAAUUUUAAAAAAAAUCAGAAACAAAAAACGAAAGGGAAAAAAAACCAAGCAGGAAAACACUGUAGCAAUCUAUAGUGUUUCAUAAGGAAUUCUAAAGUUAUAAUUCUCAACCAGCUCAAUAUUAAAAAUAAUAAAAUCGAUAAAGAAAAUUUUGAAAAAUAUCAUAACAAAAAAAAAUUCAUGUGGGGGAAUACUGUAGCAAUCCACAGUGUUUUAAAGAAAAAAACUACGAAGCUAAAUUCUCAACCAGCUCAAUAUGAGAAAAAUAAAAUCAACAAAGACAAUUCUAAAAAAAAUCAUAAAAAAAGGAAAAAAAAACCAUGUGGGGAAACACUGUAGUACUCCAUAGUGUUUUAAAGGAAAAAACUACAAAGCUAAAUUCUCAACCAGUUCAAUAUUAAAAAAAAAUCGACAAAAACAAUUCUGAAAAAAACAACACAAAAAAAAAGACAAUUUUGGAAAAAAAAAGGAAAAAAAUUAAUAAAAAAAAUGAAAAAAAAAACAUGUGGGGAAAGUUAAAACUAAAUUCUCAACCAGCUCAAUAUUAAAAUCAUUUAGGAAAACACUGUAGAAGUCUAUAGUGUUCUGUGAGGAAAUAUACAAUUGUAAUUCUCAAUCAGCUCAAUAUUAAAAAAAUAAGAUCAACAAAGAUAAUUUUGGAAAAUAUCACACAAAAAAAAACAAAAGGAAAAAAAAUCGUGCAGGGAAACACUGUAGCAAUCUAUAGUAUUUCAUGAGAAAAUCUCCAGUUGUAAUUUUCAACCAGCUCAAUAUUAAAAAUAAUAAAAUCGAUAAAGAUAAUUUUGAAAAAAAUCAUAACAAAAAAAAUCAUGUGGGGAAAAAUUGUAGCAAUUGUGUUUUAAAGAAAAAAAACUACAAAGCUAAAUUUUCAACUAGCUCAGUAUGAAAAAAAAAAAUUCGAUAAAGACAAUUUUGAAAAAAAAUCGAUUAAACAAAACAUGUGGGGAAACACUGUAGCAAGGCAAAAAUCAUGUGGGGAAACACUGUAGCAAUCCACAGUGUUUUAAAGAACUACAAAACUAAAAUCUCAAUCAGCUCAAUAUAAAAAAAAAUCGACAAAGAUAAUUCUAAAAAAAAAAACAAAAAAAUCAUUAAAAAAAACCUUGUGGGGAAACACUAUAGCAAUCCACAGUGUUUUAAAGAAAAAAACUAAAAAACUAAAUUUUCAACCAGCUCAAUAGUAAAAAAAAAAUCGACAAAAAUAAUUUUGAAAACAAAUUAAAAAAAAUAAAAUAAAACAAAAAAAAAAGAGGACAAUUUUGGGAAAAAAAAAUAGAAAAAAAUAUAUAUGGGGAAAGCUAAAGCUCAAAGCUCAACAUUGAAAAAAUAAAUUCAACAAAGAUAAUUUAAAAAAACAACAUGUGGGGGAAACACUACAGCAAAACAAAACCCAUUUUGAGGAAAUACUGUAAUAAUCCACAAUGUUAUUUUUAAAAAAACUACGAAGUUAAAUUCUCAACUAACUCAAUAUGAAAAAAAUAAAAUCGAUAAAGACCAGUUUAAAAAAGAAGAAAAAAAUCAUAAAAAGAAAAAAAAAUCAUGUAGAGAAAUAUUAUAACAAUCUAUAUAAAGAAAAAAACUACAUAGCUAAAUUUUCAAUCAGUUUAAUAUUUAAAAAAAUUAGUAAAGUUAAUUUUAAAAAGAAAACAAAAACAAAAAAAUCAAUUUUAAAAAAAAAACAUGUAAAGAAAAAAAACAAAAACUAAAAGAAUAACACGUGGCCCCACGCGUUUUAGAGUUACUGGUAAUAAUAAUAAUAACACUCUUUAACAUGUGAGGAGCGAUUGGACAUGUCGGCUAUUUAAUAAGGAUUUCAUCAUGACCGUUAGAUCGCCGUCGUUUCCUACUCUCUUCCAACACCAUUAAUAAUAAUAAUAAUAAUAAUAAUGAUAAUGAUAAAUAAUAAAUAAUAAAUAAAGGGACACAAAUCCUAAUCACGUCACUCGCACACGGUUUUCGCGCAUCCAUUCUCCGUCUCCGAUCUUCAAAAGCUUAAAGAACCCUAACCCUAACCUUCAAAAUUUCCCAAUUUCCAUCACUCAAAUCAAUUGCUUGUGGAAAGACUAACCCUAAUUUAUUCUAAACCAUCAUGCUACUCUCUCCAGGACACUCACCACGCCACCUUUCAUCUCCGUCACCAUAUUCAAAUUCCGAAAAUACCCUCCAGAUCUCCAGCAAUUCCUCCUCGAUCAACAACACCCCGAUAAACCCUAGUAAACACCCCACAGUUCUUGACGAGGACACCUAUGUGGCCACCAUCGAGAAAAUCAUCGAGCGCGACUUCUUCCCUGAUAUCUCGAAGCUACGUGACCGUCUUGAUUGGCUCGAAGCUAUGAAAUCGGGCGAUCCGAUCCAAAUUCGAGAUGCCCAGUUGAAGAUUAUGGAGCGCCGUGGCAAAAAGGUAAACAAUCCCAGCUCCGACGGCAGCUUUCGGAGUAGAAAUCGAACCCAAACCCCAGGUUCUACUUUUAUGCGUAGUCUUACUCCAUUUGAUGAAUUUGAUAGCAGGAUUCAAACACCUGGCGUUGUUAUGGAUAGGGGAUUAUCUAGUAAUGCAGAGUCUAAUGAGAAUGAAGUUGCUGUUGAUAAGAAUUUGAGUUUAGACGAAUUUUUUAGGAGAUAUACGAGUGAGGAUAACGAUAGCUUUUCAAAGAUAUUAGAGAAAGUGAAUAGGAAAAGGAAGGAGAGAUAUGAGCAUUUGUUAGAAGGUGAAAAGGAGGAUGUUAAAUUCAUUGGGGAUGCGAAGAGGGAUAGGAUUACAGAUGGUUUUGGAACUUCUGAUCAGCCACCGAGCACAUUGGAAGGAUGGAAGUACACAGCGAAGAAUUUGCUGAUGUAUCAUCCGGCUGAUAGGGGUGAGGCUCCAUUGACUGAGGAGGAACAGGCUGUUAGAUUGAAGGGUUUGACUAAAGAAAUCAAUAGGUCCAGCACACGUUUUCAUGGUAAGAUGUUGGAUACUAGGCCAAGAGAUGAUGGUGUUGUUGAGGUGCUUUAUACUCCUGUAGCUGGGGCUACUCCACUUCCUAUGUAUGAUAGGGACGGGGAUAAGGCAAAGAAGUAUGAUUUGGAGGAUUUGAGGAGGACACCAGAUAGGUUUUAUGUGGAAUCAGGGAAGAAGGCAGAUGAUGGGUAUAGUUUUGUUAGGACACCAUCACCGGCUCCUGGAGUUGAUGAGUCGCCAUUUAUUACUUGGGGUGAGAUUGAAGGGACACCAAUGAGGUUGGAACCUGAGGAUACCCCGAUUGAUAUUGGUGGUAGUGGCAAUGGGCCGCAUUUUAAAAUCCCUAAUCCACCUGCACGGGAUGUGAAGGCCCAUUCAUUGUCGAGGGAGGCUUCGCGAAGGUUGAGGGAGAAGUCAAAGAUGUUUCAAAAGCCACCGCUGCCCUCUCCAAGUAGAGGGGGGAGCGCUAGUCCAAGUGUGCGGACGCUCUCUCCUGCUGCACAGAAGUUUGUGAGGAAUGCAAUUUCCAGGUCUUCAUCCUCUGUAGAUGAAACCCUCCGUGCCAGUUAUAGAGGGGCAAGUCCAGGAGUUGGUACUCCUAAGAGUGGAAGGAGUAUCUCGAGGUUUGGAAGAGAUGGGAGCAUAAGUUCCAGGUCACCUUCUGUAAGGGAGAAUUCUAAUCCUCCUUGGUAAACUGUAAUCUUUUCAAUAGUGUUAUAUUCUGCCAAGCAUUUGUUUAAUGGCAGCAUUUAUUAGCUAUAAAUGAUGCCUUUUGUUUUUAAGGAACCAUGUACCAUCGCCUUUGUUUUCUUUUUUCCUCUGUUUCUAUAUAACUUGUGGGUUUAAUGAAAAGAAGAAAUUAUGAAGGAUGUGUCAUGCGGGAAAUUAGUAUUCAAUAACUGCUCUUCCAAUUUAAGGGUUCCAUUUUUAUUUUUUAUUUUUGUGUAUGUGUGGUUUGAAGGAAAGAUGUCUUGGAUUCAAGUUCGCUGUUUUGGUAAGCCGGUCAGACAUUGUCAAUUCUCAGUUUUGGCUAUGCUGAAUAAGUGUGAGGAUGGCAGAAAACAUUGAAUUAUUUGAUGUGCAAUUUAAAUUUCUUGAGGACAUCUAAUUGGAUCCUCAUGUUGGAUCAACUUAUUGUUCUAGUUAGUAGGUUGCUUGAUAGAAGUCAAUAAAUUCAUUUUGAUUGUUAGGGUAGUCUGGCCAAUACGAAAGGUGCUUCUGAAAUGCAAAACAAAAUACUUCAUAUUCUAUAACCCCUUGAAUUCAAACAAUAAUCCAUUGGGAUUAUUAAUAUGAUUCUCAGAUUACAAGGCUGCUGCCAUGUUUAUGCUUCACUCAUUACAGUGUUAGCAAACAGGGUGCUGCAGAUGAUAAUAAAUAUAGAAAAUGAUUUCAUUGUUAAUGGACUGCAGUGCUCGAUGUUCAUAAUAAGAAGACAUUAUUAUAGAAGUUUAUUAGUUAAGCAGAGACCAUGGUAAGCGACUUGGUUAUCAUCUUCUGGGCCAAAUGCUACCAUUGUGAUGUUUUUCUCUUUCUUUUUAUUGAAGAGGUGUCUAAAACAAACAAAAGGAGGGUAGGAAGAAUCUCCGUGAUUUAGGUCUCUUCCUCUUCUUUAAUGGAUGGUGAUGGCCAUACUUAUUUUAGUGGAAUCCAGAGGCAAUGUACUUUUCCGGUGACCAGGGGCUUGUCAGGUGAAGGUCCAAUUGAGAUAACAUGUUGUCAAUCACAGUUUAUAUAUCUUGACCACCAUCGGCACUCCAUGAUUUAGUCCUUCUGCUGGACAAGCAACAAGUAGCAGGAUGGUUUUAGAAAGUGAUGCCGAGAUUCAAUGUUUCAGUUAUCGGGCAUUGGAGGCAAGCACGGGUAACCCAUGAAAGAGGACAGUGAACAUGCUCAAACUCCAUUGCUUUAAGCGCAGAUACGUCUAGAGUCAGGAAUACAAAUUAAAUCUCUGUUUGUUUGAUUAUAGAGAACAAGCCAGAAUAAAAUAUAUACUCUGUGUAUUCCAUGCUAAGGAUGAGAUUUUUGUUUUCUACUCAUCAAUCGGCUUCACUCGGAGGUUCAGUUGCUGAGAUCAGUGGACAAGAACAAGCACAGCAUUGCUUAGCUCCCUCAAUUUGAAAGCGUUGAAGAUGUGGUCUGAGCAGGCUUGAGAGUGGUUGGAAUUUCUUCAUUUGCAUGAUUGCAGGCCUCUUUCACAGAGAUUUGAAUCGCAGCAACAUUUAUGUCAAUGGGAACAGUAUUGGCCAGGUAGGUAAUUAAUCACUGCUCAAAUCUUGCUCGGAAUCAUGUUCUUCACACCUUCAGUUAUUUCUAGGUUCCUUUUAGUUGGUGGGGAGCUUUACAGAAUUAUUAUUAUUAUUAUUAUUCACACCAUUCAAUUAUUAUGAAGCUAUGCCAGGACUAGAAAUUGUUCCCUGUGAUAUUAUAUAAAAGGUGUAAUAUUUUUGCUUAUUAAUUUAAAAAAGUUGGAAAUUUGAAAUAAACCUCGACUUCAAUUAAUUGGGUUACAGAAACCAUCGUAGACUAGACAUGACUUGAAAUUUCUCUUCUGCAGGAGGUUUUGCCACACCCCAGACCAGUGCGCUUUUGAACGGUGAAGAUUGGUCGUCAGAAUGGUUUUAUAUGACAGAAUCUGAUUAGGAAUGUAAAACCUCAAGGAAAAAAAUCAGGUUUUCAUGUAGGGUAUAGAUACUAACUAGUCUACUCAACCCAAACCCAAGCUGAAACCAACUCAAAAAAAAAUAAUAACCUUAUAUAUCAAGUUAAUUAUGUACUAAAUUAUAGCAUUUAGGUUUGGGUUCGGGUUAGUUUCGGAUUAUGAAUACUCAAAACCUAAUCAGGUUUAGGUUCAGGUUCGAGAAACUCGAUUCAUGAUAUUCAUGCUAAUGUUCGCCAUUUAAAUUACAAAACAUUUUAAGUUCACAGCAGCUUAGUUGUUGAAAACCAUUUAUUGCAAAAGAUGAUGGGGAAAAAUAAGAAGUAUCGCAUGUCGAGCAAAACUCAGAAAGAACAAGGGGAAAAAAGACUGAUUGAAAUAAUUAAAAAGGGGGGAACCCAAAUCCUUAGCUCUUUCUAAUGAUUUGCCCUCCCCUGUCCAAACAAAGCCUGCAUAUCAUCUUCGACACACAUAAUUAAACCACUUGGAUGCUUCCAUGAACUUUCCCGACCAAAAGAAAGGAACUGUUAAAAAAAAGGUACAGCACAUCUUACCGAAGAGUCAUACUGCUUGUGCCUACGCAUACAUAGAAUACAAUAGAACCCAAAAAGACAGUAGGGAGCACUGCGCCUCCUCUGUCAAAUAAGUGCUAAGUCACUCAAUUCAUAAAGGCAUUAAGACUUGAAAAAUGAAUAAAGUAGUGGUUAAUAGAUGCCUCGCAUCAAAAGCAGGAGUUUCUACUGUACAAUACCACGACGUUCUCUGAUAUAGCCUAAACACAAGCAAUAACAACUCACAUAAAAGGUGGAGUUGAAUUCUAUAAUCCCAGACAUGAUCGAAAAUAUUUAUAUCAGAUGCUUCUCUAACUUAAAUAAUCAGAAUGAAAGUGCAAUCUAAUCAAGAGAGUAGACACACAGAACCUGCAACGUGGGCAACACUGAAUUUUAUCAACAGCACAUCACCAUGCAUAUAAAAGCCAGAUCACGCCCAACCAUAAGCAUGAAUCUAAUUUAGUGAAGUAUUAGAUGAGCAUCUUCGAAAUAUAAUGUGAAUUUCUCAAUUGGAAAAUAACUUUCAACAUCCCUAUAUUAAUGACCUAAUUCUAUAAGCUACAUGGUAUCCUGAAUAUUAGAGUCUUCAAACGAUAAUGGUGCGAGUAUUCUUCUACAACUACUGGUUGUCCCCCAUUUUCAGACACUUAUGGUGUUGCUCUUGAGCUGCUGCCAGAAUAAAAUGAACAUUUUACUGCUUGUUAAUCUGCAAUGAAAUGCAUGGCAAACAUCAAAAUGUUUUGCUUAAAGAUUAAUGAACACGAGGUAGAAAACAGCAAGCAUAUUAAAAGUACCUACAGAAGAAUUAUCAUGGCAAGGCCUUCUUUUCAUGCUCCAACACUGUUAUCACCCUGCUUUGCAGCAUCCUCAACAGUAUCAAGAGAUAUUGGAAAAUCCUCUAUUGUAGCUUUGGCUUUUGGUUGAUCAAUCUUGUCAGCAGCAUCCAAGAGAGUUGAAUCACUGGCCUCAUCUUUUGUAUCAGGAAGCUGCAAGUCUUUUGCCUCUUCAAUUGUAUCAGGGAGCAGCAAGUCAUCGGCUUCUUUAAUUGCAUCUGGAAGCUGCAAGUCAUUGAUCUCUGCAGUUGCGUCUGGGGGGAGCGAAUCAUUUUCCUCUUGGGUUGUAUAAGGAAGCUGCGAGGCUUUGAGCCUUUCAUUCGUGUCAGGAAGCUGCGAGGCUUUGAGCCCAUUUGUUGCAUCAGAAAUAUGCAGAUCGUUGAUCUCAUCAAUAGCACCAUUGGGCUGAACCUCAUUAAUUGUUGCAUCAAAGAGUCCUGAGUCAUUGACCUUGUCCGAUGCAUCAGGAAGCUGAGAAUCAUGAUCACUUAUUGUUGCCUGACAAGUUUGUGAGUCAUUCAUCUUAUUUGUUGGCUCACGGGACUGGGAAUCAUCAAACACUUUACUUGCCUCACCAUAUAUUUUUCUGUCGUUGACCUCAAUAGUUCCAUGACAAGGCUGAGAGUCAUUCACACUGUCAGAGUCUCUACAAGAUUGAGAGUCAAUGAUGUCCUUUGUAGCAUUGCUAAGCUUCGCACCAUCUUCCUUAUUAACCACAUUUGGCAGCUCUUCACUGUCACCCUCGCCAGCUGCAUGAGAUAGCUGUUGAGGAUCAAAAUUAUCAGUUGCCUGGCAUAACAGCAACUGACCAACCUCGCCAUCUGCCUGAUGCAAGUGCAACUGAUCAGCCUCGAUAAUUGUACCAUAAAACUGAGGCUGGUCAUCCUCACUUGCUUCCUGAUAUUCCAUUAGAUCACCCUUUCUCCUGCGUUUCCCAAUACCUUUCCUUCUUAUCCUCUCCUUCCCCCUUGACCUUUUUCCUAGUUCAAUUUGUGGGGGGACUGAAGGUGUGGCUGGACAUUCAAUCUGGUCCCUUAAACAGUCCUGCGCAAUAAACCUGAUCCUUGAAAUUGACUCAAAUUGCUGUCCAUCCAACCCUUUUGUUGAGAAUGAAUCCGCUAAAUAAGCAAUUUCCCUUAGACCAGAGAUCUGUGACAGUUAAAGAAUAGACCAUUAAAGAUUAUUAUAAAAAGUAAAUGUAAUAGCAAAAUUGAAGUUUGAGCAUAGUCCUACCGUCCUUUGGAACUCGGAUGAGAGAGAGAUUGGCCUUCCAACAACUUUACGAGUCAUUUUCCAGUACCAUUGCAUGUAGUCGCUUUCAUCUACACCAUCAUCCCCAUCCACAAUAUGGAGUUGACGAUCCAUCCAUUCAUUAAGCUCCGACUCCAUUUUCCCAGACAAGUCGACCCCACCAUCAACUCCUCGACUCUUUCUCAGCCACCGCUCCACAUCUUCUGGGAUUGGUUGAAGCAUGCCAUAUUGCCUUAGGCAACGGUCAGGAAGGUGUCUUUCUGCCUUGUCGAAGCAUAUGAGCAUUGUCUUUGAUCUCCCUAAAAUCAAAGUAUUUUUUAUAUCUUUUGGUAUUACAGUACUGUCCAUAAUUUUGUAAGGAAGCCACUCCACCUAUGUGUCAACACCACACCAGUUGAAUUAGAAUUUUUUUUAUUCGGUAAGUGGAAUAAGAACUGAACUGAAAGCAGUAAAAACCUACAUCAGUUGUUUUCAAUGAGUCCAGUGCCUUGCGGUAGAAAACAACAUCACGGUUUGUUGUUGGCCCGCUUUGUUUUCCCUUCCAUCUAAGUACAAAUGGAAAAUGAUCGUGGAUGGGGUCCCGAUUAAGCUUUGGUCGGCCCACAUUUAGGUGAAAGUAGCUCCAACACUACAGAAAGCAAGAACCAGUCAAUACCAAUAUUAUAUAUCCUAGGAUGAAAUUAGUUGCUGAAAGAAAUCCUUGCAGCACGCAUCCUGACAAAGAAAAAUAAAUAAAUAAAGGACACACCAAUCUCCAAGAUGAUCAAUGGAUAGCUAUAGUUAAAACAUAAAUAACCUGCAGUAGUGUUAAGCAACCACAAAUGGUACUUUGAGAUUUAACACAUGCAUUGCCGAGUGCUCUAUACAAGAAAGCUAAUGCUGCUGCUCCCCAGGCAUACUCCCCAGCUUCUUCAAAAUACGCAAACAAAGGAAGGUACAUUACUGGAACCUUAUUCCCAGUGGUGGUGGAAAAUAUUGUACUGCCCACAAGGUACAGAAGAUAAGCACGAGUGCAAUGCUCAACUUCUUCAAUAGGUGCAUCUUCAGAACAAUGAGAAAAGAACUCCUUCAACCAACUUAACUUCACCAUCCCGCCACUCGCGUAGCUAGAGUCUGGUGCUUUCCCUAGAAGCCCUUCACAAACCGAGGCACAAGUGGUGUGUGUUAUUCCAAUAACAGGCUUCCCAUCAAUCGCAAGUCCGAGCAACAAUGCAACAUCUUGGAGAGUAACAGUCAUUUCACCAACAGUGAAGUGAAACGUGUUGGUCUCUCUCCUCCACCUCUCAACAAGAGCUGAGAUUAGAGGAUUGUCAAGACUAAUAGCCGGAAUCUUUCUCAAGUAACCAAAUCCAGCUUUCUCCACCAACUCAAUUUGUUUAGGAGUUAGCUUCCAUUCACCCAGCUUCGAGGUGUGUUCAUGGCAUCUUAGCGCACCACGCUCCUGAACACCACCACAUAAACAAAGUCUUAGCAGAACACAAACAAUGCAUGUGCUUUAAUGUAAUGAUCAUGAAAAGUAAGACACUAUGUUUCCACACAAACACCAACCUGGCCAUCCCAAACUGCAGAGGAGACAUGCUUGUCUUGAUCAUACAGUACACUACCAUCAAUGGGUCCGGGAUUCGUAUCCAUUCACUGCUUCCCACCACCACCACCACCAACAACGUAAGCAACUGCAACAACUCCAUUAUUAACCAUCCAAAACGCCUCUUUCAACAACUAGCUUGCAGUUAUUAUUAUUAUUUUGUAAUGAUAAUAAUGAAUUAGACUUGAAUCGAAAUCUUCCAUGGAUAUCCAAUUUUUAAUUUGCUUUAAACCUAGAUUAUUGUUCCUAUUGGCUAAUAGAUAAUUUACAAAAAUUAAAACUAAGAAAAAUCAACACCGUAGUUGUAUUAACUAGCUCUGGCUGCAGCUUCCGGGAAAAUGAAAAAACAAGGAGGAGGAGGAAUAGGGGAUAAAGGAAUUACGAACCUGAAAAAGGAGACUGGGAUAAAUUUUUAGCAAAACGACGACGGAGAAAGAGUUCUGAUUUAUCUCCCGCUACGACCAGGAAGGAACUGCUUCGAAAACAAAACGACGGGUUAAGCAUCGAAGCGACGUGAUAUCAAAACCUACAACUAAACCAGCCUCUCGUUUUGGGUUAAACGCGUGUCCUUAUACACGUGUCACUUUUUCAGUAGUCUGGGCGUAGCCCCAUUUUUUAAUGAUAUGUUUGGGCUAUCUACUGUUUCUUGAAUGGGCCAACUUAACCACCCAUUAAAAUUAUCAAGAAGAAUUUUGUUAUUAUUAUUAAUUUUAUUCAUUAAUAUUUAGUUGUUUUUGAAUUAGAUUUUGUGAUUUUUUUUAUUAAUUUUUUAUAGAAUUAUCAUACUUUCAAACCAAUUUUCUCAUAUUUAGUUGUCACCUAAUUUUGCGAGUGUUAAUUUUUGUUGUCAUGUAAUUAAAAUAUGAAAUAAUUUGAGAAAAAAAUAAAGUAAUUAAACCUAAUUGGGUGCAUGACUCAGACCACGAGUUUGACGGGUUCACUCUGUUUUUUUUAUCUUUUUUUUAAUUAAAUUUUUUUUCAAUCUCAUUCUUCAACAUUGGAUUGGUUGGGAAUUGGGUUUCAUAAUCUAUUUUGAUUUUGAUUUUUAAAGGGUUAUUAAGGUCUCAUGACCCAGGUUUCGAGUUUAGCAAAUUAACUUGAUUUAACCCGAAUCGAUCUAAAAUGUUGUCAAUUUGUCAUCUUAAUAAAUUUUUUAUAUAAAAAAAAAGAUGUUCAAUAUGUCACUAUCUUAGUAUUUAAAAACAUGAUGUCCAAUACGCCUCGGAUUUUGAAUUUAUAAUUAGAAUUUUUGUUUUUACUAGAAAACAUGUCAGCAACACCUGGAUAUUUUUUUCUUAUAUUAAAAAAAAAUAUUAUAUUACCCCAGGUAUGAAAGUUUAGAUGAACCUAAAAAGAUGAUGAAUUAAGCUGCCAAUUAAAAAGCUUUUUGAUAACUUAAAAUAAUAUAUAGCACAAACUAAUGAUUAUACAAAUAAUCUCAAAAUAAUAAUAGAAGCAAACUUAAAAAUGCACCAAAACAAUCAACAUAAUAAGACAGUAGAUAGAGUUAAAAGAGCAUGCAUCGGGAUUUUUAUACAAGUUCGGACAAUCAUCUACUUUUUUUUUAACCAUUGUUAAAGAGUUUACUAUCAUACACGGUAUUCUUAAAGGGGGAGACCAAAACUUUACACAAUGUUUUUCACGUGUAAAAGAUUGAAAACCUCUUCCAAUCCUUUUUCGGGUUCAAGAUUUAACCUAAUUUUUUUAUGGGCUCAACAUUAAACCCAAUCAUUUUACUGGCCCAAGAUCAAACUUAUCACACUCUGUUUAGAGAAUCAAGAUUAAAAACAUUUCUCAAUCCUUUUCCAGUUUCAAGAUUUAAUCCAAUUCUUUUACGAGUUUGAGUUGAAAACCAAUCCUCUUACACAUGUUAAAGAUCAAACCUUCCACCUAAUCUACAUAGUUAUCAAACCCAACUCGGAAGUUAACCCAACCAAGGGGCCGGGUUCCGGGUUUCAUGGGUCAACCCAGAAAAAUUACAAAAAAAAUAUUUAAAGUUUUAAUAUUUCAUAUGAAAAAUUAAGAAACAAUUCAUGUGAAUAUAGGCUAUACAUGUUGUAAAUAAUAAAGUUUAAAAGAAUAUUUUAAAAAGUUUUUUAUUCCACAUUGAAAAAACGUAACUUUUUUCUUGUGAACAUAGAGUAUAUAUAUUAAAGGGCUUCAAAUCCCACAUUGAAAAGAUAUUAUGUUAUCCUUUUUAAGUUGAAGUAUUUAAACCAAAAAGUUUUUUAUCCCACAUUGAAAAAACUUAACUUUUUUCUUAUGAACAUAGAGUAUAUAUAUGAAAGGGCUUCAAAUCCUACAUUGAAAAAUUAACUUUUUUUCUUGGGAGCAUAGAAUAUAUAUAUGAAAGGGCUUCAAAUCCUACAUUGAAAAAAUAAAAUAUUUUUCUAGUAUUUAUAUAGUAAACUUUAAAAAGUGUUAAUAACCAACUAAAAAAAUAUGAAAAAAAAGAGUAUAGGAGAAAAAUCACAUUUGAAAAAAAAUUUGAGUCUCGUUAGGGUUCACCCGGGUCAUAGGUCGACUCGCCAGAUCGACCGGGUUUUGCUAGAUUGUUGCAUUGGACGGUCUUUUAUCUUACCCAGACCAGUCCAGCCACUGGGUCCCGAGUUGACCCGUCAGGCCGGUCCAGGUUUAAUAACACUGCUAAAUAGCCAUGUAAUACUUGUAAAUGUACAAGAGUAGAAAAUCUUUCCUCACUAAUACUUGUAAAUGUACAAGUAUCAAGCCAUGUAAAUAGCCUUUAGAAGUCUUUUUCAAGUCUUUUAAGUGUCACUUACAUUUCCUUAAUAUUACUUUCUUAAUAGAGUUAAAUGGAAUACAAAUGGAGCACUUGAAAGAGUUUUGUCAAAAACACUUUAACCUUAUUUUUUGAUAAAUUAAAAGUAUAACAAAGGUUGUAAAAAGUUGUAUGAGACUAAAAAUAUGAUUAAAAUUUUACCUUGGAUGUUAUUUUUUAUUUUGCUGAAGAGGGGAAUAUUCAUAGGGGUAAAAGAUCAAGCUAGUCAUUAGGCAUACUCUUCAAAAAAUUUAUGUUUAUUAAAAAAUCGAUUAGAUCAUUGAUAAAACAGUUUAAACUGUUUAAAGAUGUUGGACAAAUUCUGAAAUUUUCAUAAAAUAGUUAAACCAUUUUCCAAACCGAUCAAACCAUUUCUCAAAAAGGUGAUUUUUUUUUUAAAUCAACUAAACUAAUUUAGAUUAUGUUUUUUUAAGUCUGUUUAGGUUUUAUAAGAGUGGAAAAUGGUUCCUAAACAAAUUAAAAGUUAUUUGAUAAACUCUCUAUAUAAGAUCUUGAUCUUUGAAGUUGAAAGUUGUUAUGCAUCGUGUUUCAUGUUUGAAGAUGAAAACCAUUAUUGUGUUAUUUUAUGUAUUCAUGCCUUGCUUCUUUGAUGAUUUUCUUAAAUGAUUCUAUACUCUUGAAUCCUGUACCAAUCAUCACCAAGCAUGUGCAACAUACAAAUACAAGUAAUAUAUUUUCAUACAAGCACUCAAAUAAAUUUAAGCAUUAAUGCAUCUUUCAUAUAAGCAUAUUAAUGCAACAAAUAAAGUCGAUCAAAGCAUUCUUAUAUUAAUUUAAGAUAUCAAUGUAAAACAUAUAUUUAAAUAUACAUUAAACAAUAUUACUCUUAUAUUAUGUUAUUAUCAUAGUCAUACAAUAUUAAUUACAUUUUUUUUAUAAUCAAAACCUUAGAUAAUUGGUGUGCAUCCAAACUAAUACAAUGUGAUGCAAGCAAUGACAUAAUAUUAUAUAAAAAUAUUUAUAUUUUUUGUUUAAAAAAUGAAUAAAAAUAAGUAUAAGCCUAUUUUGAAUCUUCAUCAAACCUAAAUUAUUUCCUCAUAUAAAUGAUUCUAUAAAGCAAUGCAUUGAACUUUCAUAAUUAUCUCAAUUAAAUUUUUUGUUAGGUUUUCAAACAAUUUAUAUAAUUUUUUGUUAUGAACCAAUGCAUUAUUCUUCUUAUGUUAGUUUAAAACAUCAAUGUAAAACAUAUACUUAAAUAUACAUUAACUCUUAUAACAUAAAUCUUACAAUAUUAAUUACAUAUUUUUUUAUAAUUAAAACUCUUGAUAAUUGAUAUUUGUCCAAACUAAUCCAAACUAAUACAAUGUGACACAUGCAAUAAUAUAAUAUUAUAUAAAAUUAUUUAUAUUUUCUGUUUCAAAAAUGAAUAAAAAUAAGUAUAAACCUAUCUUGAACUCUUCAUCAAACCUAAAUUAUUUCCUCAAGUAAAUGACUCUAUGAACCAAUGCAUUCAACUUUCAUAAUUAUCUCAAUUGUUUUUUUUAUCAGGUUUCAUACAAUUUAUACAAUUACUAAAGUAACUUCAAGCCAUAUACUAUAAAACAUUUAUAUUUAUUAUAUCGUAAUAUAUAGUUUAACUUAUCAUCAAGUAAUCCAAUUGAUUACUCGGUGAUUGUGCUAAUCAUUAAAAAUAAAAUACAACCGUUAUUCAAAAUGUAUAUUGUUAUAUUAAAAAAAGAAAAUAAAUGUGAUCAGAUCAUCUCUUUUCCAAACAUGAACCCUAGCCAUCAUCUUGAAUUCAAUUGUAUCCAAGAAUCCCAUGUUAUCAAAUCAUCUCACCAGGCUCAACAAUCUCGAUAGAGAUCUGGAUCUUGAACACUGGAUGGUGUUAGUUUCUUGCUCGAAUAAGAAGAGGUUUACCCAUCCAGAGAAUUCACUUUCCAAUGUGUGAAUAACAGCCUAACAACUAGUGUUGAGACCUGCAACCAAAUAUCAAUAAAUAUUUAGUAACCACAAAUUCCUAAAUAUGCUCAACCCUGAGAAAUGCAGUCGAGGGCUUUACCUUCUGUUGAAUGGCAAGUUCAGCUUUUCUCUUAUUCUUGCUUAAACUCUUCAUAUAGUUGGUAACAGACCUAUCCAGCUCCCAUCAUCAUGUUGGGAGAGUGAUGAACUCCUCUUUUAUAUUGCCUGUGCAAUGUUGUCCGGUUUCUCUGAAGGUAGGCUCUGAAGAUUUGUACUAAGCUUUUAUUUCUCGUCAUAAGUCAUGUCUCUCUUGUUUUUGAGCGGAAAAUAAAGGGUUAAAAAAACUAGAAAAAUAGGCAUUUUUAUAAAUACAAGGUUGAUAUUGGUAAAUGAAACAAAAUAAAACAUUGCUAAAUCCAUAGAAGCUAAAUUCUAAAAUACAAUUCAACUUUAUACAUCCUAAGUUUUUGGUCUUUCGUGGAAUUGCGAAGAAAGAAAAUAUCAUACAUUCACAUAAUUUUAAAAGGUAAUGUUUAUUGUACUCUCAAACAAGCCCACAUUCUAUGAAUUGAAAACUUCACUCGCUCUAUAAUUUGCCAGGGAUAUCAUUAAUUGGUGAGGAUUCAGCUACUUCAUUCUAUAUCAAGUGCCAAUAAUGAACUUCUCCAGUGAAAAAUGUAUGAAUUUACCGGUAAAUGAACAAAGAUUUUAUGUAAGAAAUCUCAUUCCAUACUAUAUAUUAUGAUCAGUACAUUGAUGUUUUCAACUUAUCUGGAACCAUGGAAGCCCCCAAUUCAGCAUUGUACAUAAACUGCAAUCUGCAGAUAAAAAAGAUAACUAAUGGGAAAGCCACGCGUGGGCUCCCAGUCAGCACAUUACAUGACUGCAGCUACCUCAAUAUGGGAGUCAGUGGGAAACCUUAUAGGAUUCAAGGACGUUCCUUGUUGAUUCUAUGACUGCUUGCCCACUGACAUAGUGCUGGCGGCAAACAGGCAUGUAGAGAUCAGAUCCUCCAAUCAAUUCUGUCUGGGUCUCUGCUGUCUUCCUCAAGGUAAAGAAGGCUCGCUUGCCACAAAGUUCACACCUUGCAGUCAGCUUUGUUACCGUAUCAGCAAGAGGUAUUACAUCAAGCACAGAUCCGAAGCUCCUCCUACCAAACAAAGGUAAUAUAAAUCAGAUGCCAAUUUACAAUGAAAGAGCUCCUAAAGUCGAACAGCAACAUUUGUCAAACCAAAUUAAAUUACUAAGAAAGACAUUGAGCAACACCUCAAAUAAUCCCCAUCAAGGCCAGCUACAAUUAUAGUUUUCCCAUCAUGAUCAGCAGCCUUGCAACAGAAUUCAUAAAGGUCUUCAAAAAAUUGAGCCUCAUCAAUGCCAAUCACGUCAAGCUGUCAAUAAACAUAGAUCAUGAGAAGUGGAGGAGAAGGAAAAUAUGAAUUGCAGUAAAAUCAUCAAACCAAUCACAACAUUUUCUUUUUAGCAAGCCUUCUUUCAAACUCGUAAAAAGAAAAGGAAAGGAAAGAAAAUCUUAUUUUCCUUUUCUCUCCGAAACCCAUUAAUCAGCGGCAGCAGCAGCAACAAUAAUAGACCCUGUUUAGAUCUGAUUGUGAAAUAAACGAUUCAAAACGCUAAAAAAGAAACCUUGUGAUAUUCAUCAUCUCCAAGCUUGUGAUGGAAAGAGGUGAGAUCUGGCAAAGACCAGCAAGGAAAUUUCAAGCCAUCAUGUGUGACCACCGAAUCGUUUGCAUAUCUUGUGUCCUUGCUUGAUUUUAUCAUUGCCACAUUUCUACAUUAAAAAUAAUAUUCAAGAUCAUUAUUUUCAAAAAUCAAAAUUAGAACUUUCCUUUCGCGUAUCUAAUACCAGAUCAUAACCCUCCCCAAAAAAAGAAGAAGAAGAACCUGCCACUGCUGCUCUCAGAUUCGAUACGACGGAGUAAAUCGGUGGUUUUGCCAGCAAACAUGGGGCCAAUGAUGACAUGUACUUCACCGGCCUCACAGCGGCCACCGUUAAUCGAAGUCAAAGCAGCCAUGGGAGAGUAAUAAGCUGGAAGUGGGGGGGAAGAAUUUGGGAAUUGGGAGGUGAGAAGAUGGGAAAUGGGGAGAGAUUGAUGUUCUGUUUGGAAAUAAAAAUAAAUAAAAGAAGGCUGGUUUUGAUUUUGAAUGGUUUUGGAGGGAAAAGAAUUGGAGGGAAGUUGAAAUAUGAAUUUCUUUUUCUUUUUCUUUUUCCUUUUUUAAAUUCAGCACUCGUGCAUGAGUCAUGUGACUCUGACUCUCUGAUGGCCGACCUGGUCGGUGCUGGCUGAGCUGUACGUAUCUUUCGUCGUGUAUUUGUUAGAUAUUUUAAAAUUUUGGUAUAGGAUUUUUUUUAAAAUUAGAAAUAUAUUAAAAUAAUAUUUUUUUAUUUUUUAAAAUAAUUUAAAAAUAUAUAAAAAAUAUUCAAAAAAAAUAAAUAAAUUCAAUUGUUUUCAAGACUAUUUUUACGCUGAUUUAUUUUACGUUUUAAAAGUGUUUUUAAAAAAUAUUAAAUUUUAUUUUUUAUUUUAAAUUAAUUUAUUUAUAUUUUUAUAUAAUUUUGAUAUAUUAAUAUUAAAAUAUAUUUUAAAAAAUAUAUUUUUAAGUCAAAUCAAAAAACAAACUACUAAAAUAUGCACCGAAGAAAUUUUGAUUAUGUGGGGUUAGGCUCAUUGGGCCCACUUUGAUUGUCCAAUUCAUUUGGGCCCACCAUUGUUUUUUUUUUUUUUUUGCCCUUUUUGUUUUCAGAAUGCAUUAGGCCAUCAGCCCAUCAGUGCCGUUUUUAGAAUUAACUAACCUGUAGAGGCACAUUCCACCGUGAACAGAAUUUUAAAUUAAAAAAUAUCAGUAUUAUGAUAUUUUUAACUAAGAAUGAAAAGACAAUGUAUAAAUUGAAAAAUAUAUAAACUAAUAAAUUAUAUAAAAAAAUUAUUAAUAUUAAUUAAAAACUAAAGCAGUAAGUUAAUUAUUUUUAUAAAAAAUAAAAAUAGAUGUACAUGGAAAUAAUUACCUCAAAUAUCCUUUUUAUUUAAUAAUUUUACUUUUAUAUUUAAAUUUAAUUUUGAUAACUACAUACUUAUUUUACCUGAACCAUCCUUUUCAUUUUAUAUGUUUUCUUUUAUUUAUUUUAAAGGUUAACUUUGAUCGCUUUAUACAUAUCAUUUUUGUUUUAAUAAAUUAUAAUAAUUUAUUCGAAGUAUUAUGAAAUUACAUAAAUAAUUCAAAAGAUUAAUUACUAUUAAAAAAAUAAAAUAAACAUUUUAGAAAAUGAUACAUGUUGUUGAUUAAAAAAUAAAUUGAAAAUUAAGAGAGAGACUGAUCAUUACUAAGCUUAACAGGUCAAAUCCAUACAUUUUGCUUUUAAUUUGUUUUUUUAAAAAAACAAAUAACAUGUUAUAUGAUGAUUUAUUUUUUAUUAUUGGAUCAGAGUUUGAGUUCUUAGACACUCAAAACUUAAUUUUUAAAUUGUUUAUAUUUAAAAAUACCUUAAAAAUCAUCACAUAAACAUCAAUAAAGACAUAUUUAACUCUAAAACACCCUCUAAUCAAUUUAAAAAUAAAAAAUAAAAUAAAAUAAAAUUUACGAGUCUCGAUCUACUUUUUAUAGCAUGAUUAAAAGACAAAACCAUCUCUUGUAAACUUUUAUCUUUAAGACGAAUUCAUUGACAUUAAAAUCGGUUUUUUUUAUGGCCGGCCAAAUAUUUUCUUUUAUUUUUCUUUCUUGAUGAGUUUUUAUCUCCUUAAGGAACUAAAAUGGAGUUUUGACCAAGUAAAAAUACUUAAACACAACAUGGAUCAAAUAUGCAUAAUUUAAGAUUUGAGAGACCUAGAAGUGUUCCAUGCCCUUUAAACAAUGAAACUAAAAAAAAAACUUUUUUAUAUUGAUUUUAGUCCUUUUAAUUUUUUUAAAAAACUAUAACCUAAAAUCUAUCUUUUAAUAUUAAUCUUUAAUCUAACAUUGAAAUUAUCG
Molecule: long non-coding RNA, 59888 nt
Filed under: Populus trichocarpa (black cottonwood)
Lineage: Eukaryota; Viridiplantae; Streptophyta; Magnoliopsida; Malpighiales; Salicaceae
Description: long non-coding RNA (PTRI_LNC000746)
Source: RNAcentral